RNAcentral lists this long non-coding RNA (65495 nucleotides) under Hordeum vulgare. RNAcentral's name for it is "long non-coding RNA (HVUL_LNC008027)". The record is from RNAcentral. Lineage: Eukaryota; Viridiplantae; Streptophyta; Magnoliopsida; Poales; Poaceae.
UACAUUUUUCUGAAAUUUCGAUUUAUUUCCAUUUCGGCGAAUUUCGAGCAAACUCAGUAUGUCCUAUUUUUAGGCAAGGUCAUGCCAAAAAUUUAUAUGCAUGCAUUUUUAUGACCCUUUUGUUGGGGAACGUCGCAUNNNNNNNNNNNNNNNNNNNNNNNNNNNNNNNNNNNNNNNNNNNNNNNNNNNNNNNNNNNNNNNNNNNNNNNNNNNNNNNNNNNNNNNNNNNNNNNNNNNNNNNNNNNNNNNNNNNNNNNNNNNNNNNNNNNNNNNNNNNNNNNNNNNNNNNNNNNNNNNNNNNNNNNNNNNNNNNNNNNNNNNNNNNNNNNNNNNNNNNNNNNNNNNNNNNNNNNNNNNNNNNNNNNNNNNNNNNNNNNNNNNNNNNNNNNNNNNNNNNNNNNNNNNNNNNNNNNNNNNNNNNNNNNNNNNNNNNNNNNNNNNNNNNNNNNNNNNNNNNNNNNNNNNNNNNNNNNAAGCAUUCCUCCGGUGUCCGUGAGUUAUAUGAUCUCAUGGUCAUAGGAAUAAAUACUUGACACGCAGAAAACAGCAGCAACAAAAUGACACGAUCAACAUGCUACGUCUAUUAGUUUGGGUCUAGUCCAUCACGUGAUUCUCCCAAUGACGUGAUCCAGUUAUCAAGUAACAACACCUUGUUCAUAAUCAGAAGACACUGACUAUCAUCGAUCAACUGGCUAGCCAACUAGAGGCAUGCUAGGGACGGUGUUUUGUCUAUGUAUCCACACAUGUAAAUGAGUCUUCAUUCAAUACAAUUAUAGCAUGGAUAAUAAACUAUUAUCUUGAUAUAGGAAUUAUAAUAAUAACUAUAUUUAUUAUUGCCUCUAGGGCAUAAUUCCAACACCUUUUGCUUGUUAUACCUUGCAGUCAUGAAGGUGAGUGGUAGGAAGGUGGAGCGAUACUUGUAAUCCGCGGUGAUGGACAUGUAUAAAAAUAAACGGACUGGGAUUAGAUGUCUGUGUACAAGAUGCAAAGAAGGAGUAAUUUUGGACCCUUUUGAUCGUGGCAGUUUGAAGGCUCACUUGUUGAUCAAUGGUUUCAUGGAUGGCUAUACUCUUUGGAUAAGUGAAGAUGAUGAUGAGGACGUCCACAUGACAGGGAAUAAUGACAUGGGUCUAGACGAAGAGAUGACUGAUCGAUACGAAGACGUUGGCGCCGGACAUGACGGCUGUGAAGAGUCCGAACACGGCGGCGGGGAAGAGUCUGGACAUGGCGUCGGAGAAGAUUCUAGACACGGCUAAGAAGCAGAGUCCGGACAUGGCGGAGAGGAGUCGAUGGACACGCCGCGGACUUUGAUGCUACUAAGUUCAGUCGUGCAGGACCCUCAUGUUCGAGACCUCCUUCGCAAGAGUACGAAUAGCGACACAGUUGCUUCAAGAGAGGAGGCCAAGCUGGCGCAACUUGAAGUACACUCGAAGACUCCAUUAUAUGACGAUUACGAUCCCGAGGUUACCCGCUUGAGUUUCACGCUCGAACUUCUAAAGACGAAGGCCAAAAACAAAUGGACAAACAAAAGCCUCGAUGAGCACUUGAAGUAUCUACAAAAUAAAGUUCUUCCGCAGGGAACCUGUGUCCUACUAGUGUCGAUGAGGCCAAAAAUAUCGUUUCACAUCUGGAUCUGCCGCCCAUUAGAUGCCACACAUGCACCAACGAUAGCAUCAUUUAUCGAGGUGAGCAUGCGGAAAAAACGAGGUGUCCAGUGUGCAAUGCUUCUCGAUACAAGAAGGCAGGAAAGAAAGCUCCUCAGUAGUUGUAUGGUACUUUCCGAUAACUCCCCGUCUACAACGGUAGUUUGAGGAGUUCAUGUAUUUACUAUGUGUUAAUGCUUUGUUCCAGUUCUCUAUUAAAAAGAGGCCUUAAUAUCCCUAAGUUUCCAAUAGGACCCUGCUACCACGGGAGGGUAGGACAAAAGAUGCCAUGCAAGUUCGUAUCGCAAGCACGUAUGACCAUACAUAGAAUACAUGCCAUCCAUCGUUGAUCCAUGUGCCUACACUUUACAUAUACUUAAUUUUGUUAAGUUACUAUUGCUUGUGUUGCUAUUACGCAUGUUACUCAAUUGCUACUGUUAUCACUGUUAUCAAAUUGCUGCUAUCACUGUUAUUGUUAUUCCUAUCUUUUGUUGUGCUACUAAAUCCUUGCUGUAGAGAGAUAUUCCAGGUGCGGUUGAAUUGACCAUUCAAUUGUUACGGUCAACAAAUAUUAUUUGGCUCCCCUUGUGACGAAUCAAUAAUCUGUCGCGAUCUCCUACACUUAUGGGUUGUCAGACUCUGUGAUAAAUACGAAAGUAAAGUGCACACAAAAGUUAGUCAAAUGUGAAGCUUUUGAGUGACUAAUAGGACCUGAUGCAUUAAUGUCAUCGAGGAUUUUGUUAAUCUGUACUUUAUUUUCCACUUUUGAAUGAGCAGAUUGACGAUUUUAUUGGGGCCAAGGAUUUUCUUCAGGUCCUAGAUCUUAGACCUUGCCUCCUCGAGAAAAUCAGUAGGAAGGGCCUGAUCUGCAGGUCCAUAAACCACGCAUAAAUCCCAAGUAGCUUGGGUGGCUACUGUUAGGAUAGAGGCACCGAGGAGAAAAAUGACCAAGACUUUAACUUGAGACAAAAGUACUGAUUUUUAUCAAUGCCCAAGAGCUCCUGCAGCCGGCACCCAUUGCCAAGCAAAAUUUUCUGCGGGCCUAUCGAUUUGAGCUCAAAGUAGGUGAAGUCGGCUUUGAUCGUUUCCUGAAGGGCAACACAAUUUAGGAACUCUUUGAUUUGCAGGAUUUAAAAAACGCAGGAAUAGAAAAAGUAAAAAAGUUGGAGUGACAUGUUCAUUUGAAUCCCAUAAGAUUAGCAAGGAGUGUAUGAAGACACAGAAAAAACAAAAAAUUGUAAAUGAUGGUUGGAGUGGAUGUUAGAUUUUUUAUGAAACACAAUACAAAAGAUUUCAUAAGAAAAUUUCCUAUGAGAUCCAAUCCAAUUAAUCAAAUGAUCAAUGUAGAAAAAAAUUCCAAGAAUUUUAAUGCUCCAAAAAUCCUAUAGAAUUCCUUUGACUCAAAGGAGCCCCUAUCCUUGGUGCCAUGGAUUUUGGUGGUGGUUGGCCAGAUACGGCUUUAGAAAGUUACAUGUGUAGGGCAAAUCCAACUUGAAGAUGUUUUUUUCUUUCUUCCACUGGAACUUGUUAGCACUAUAAAUGUACUUACGUAGCUUCCAUGCGUUUCUUUUCACUUCCACUCUUCUAUGAAUCUCAUCCUUGAUAGAUUCUCAAAUAAACACAAGUUAACAAGCUCCAACUAAGCAAUAAUCUAGUACUCCCUCCAUCUUUAAAUAUAUGUUUUUCUAAAGAUUCCUUAAAGAAAACAAAAUGAACGGAUCUAUACUCGAAAACCACGUUUGAAUUAUCGUAUUUCUACCGGAUAUACAUGUAGAAAAUACAUGCCUUCGUCUACCAGUAUUGUUUCCGCUGAAAAUCAUUAGUGUUCAGUACAGUACAUAUGUAAAUUUCACAUCUCCAUAUUACAAUACACCGCAACCAAGCACGGUCUAAAGUAUGUAUUCCUGUAAUGAAAUUUUUAGAAAUCUUAAAUUUAGAAACGGAGAGAGUAGAUUGCAGUCCUUCCCAUAGUAGGCAUUAUGUCUUUCUAGUUUACAAAGAUUUCUGAUCCAUCUUUUUACACACAGAACCCUGAGUAGCUACCGGUCGCCUCGCGUGAUGGUUACUUUGACCGUUUCAACUACGCCAGGAAGCACGUCGCCGUCAACGAUCACGCUGUCGGUCUCUUCAGACCACGGGAUCAGUAAUUAUGUGCUGUUAAAUGUUAAUUUUAACCAUUUUGUAGUGACUUAAUUACUCUGACAAGUCAAGGCCCGCCACAUCAAUCCUUGUCGCCCAAGAAACCCAAAUAAUUUUCUAAUGCCAGUCAACAUCCUUGGGAACUACUCUGCCAUUUCACAAAGUGUUACUACUACAAAUUCUUUUCGAAAUUUUGGCAUGUUCACGUAAUCGUAAACCCCUAAAUUUCCUGGAAGCUUCGCGCACUGACUAACAAUCUGCACCACAGAAGCUUGGUGAGCUCAGGAUAGUAUAUAAAUAGCCAUACUCUUACCGGCGAAAGACUCUGACUCAGCUGCCCCGCAACGAUGGCAAGUAGACACGUCGCCCUGUUCCCGCUGCCGUUCCAGGGCCACCUCAGCCCGAUGCUGCAGCUCGCCGACGUGCUCCACGGCCGAGGCCUCGCCAUCACCAUCCUCCACACCACCUUCAACGCCCCCGACACUGCCGCCCACCCGGAGUUCGCCUUCGUCGCCGUGGCCGACGGCGGCAUGCCGGACGCCAAGGACGGCCUCGGCAAGAUCCUCGCCAUGAACGACGCCAUGGAGGCGUCGGGGUGCGUCCGCGACGCGCUCGCGGCCCUGGAGCCCCGCCCGGCGUGCCUCGUCAGCGACUCCACCCUCCCCGCCGCGCAGAAGGCCGCGGCCGAGCUCGGCAUGCCGACCGUCCUGCUGCACACCGGCAGCGCGGCCGCCGUCCGCCUGUUCCGGUCCUACGCCAUGCUCCACGACAAGGGAUACCUGCCAGCGCAAGGUUAGUCUAGUCACGCUCACUGCUAAUUUUGUGUGCGUUGCGUUGUUCAUCGUAAUCAAAAUCAGUUGCUGAGAUCUCUGGAUGGAAUAAUACCCUGCUCAGAGCACGAGCUGGACAGGCCGGUGAGGGAGCUGCCGCCGAUACGGGUGUCGGACCUGUUCGACCCCAGCAAAUACCCCAACCGAGAAACCGCGAACAAGGUCCUGGACAUGACCACCGACAUCACAAACAACUCCUCCGGGAUCGUGAUCAACACGCUCGACGCGCUGGAGACCCCGGAGCUGGAGGCGAUCCGGGACGAGCUCGGCGCCAGCGGCGUCGGGGUGUUCGCCAUCGGCCCGCUCCACAAGCUCUCCACCAUCGGCGGCGCCAGCAGCAGCCUGCUGGAGGCGGACCGGAGCUGCAUCGAGUGGCUGGACGCGCAGGCCGCGGGCUCCGUGCUGUACGUGAGCUUCGGGAGCGUGGCCCCGGUGCGCCGGGAAGACUUGGACGAGGUCGCAUGGGGCCUCGCCAACAGCGGCAGGCCGUUCCUGUGGGUCGUCCGGCGGGGCCUCGUCGUCGGCUCCGGAUCCGAGGACACAGAGCUGCCGGAGGGGUUCGAGCGGGUGGCGGAGGGCAGGGGGAAGGUGGUGAGGUGGGCGCCGCAGCAGGAGGUGCUCGCCCACCGUGCGGUCGGCGGGUUCUGGACGCACAGUGGGUGGAACUCGACGCUGGAGGGCAUCUGCGAGGGGGUGCCGAUGCUGUGCAGGCCGUUCUUCGGAGACCAGCUGGCCAACGGGAGGUACGUGGAGGAGGUGUGGCGGACGGGAGCCUUGCUGGUGGGCAAGCUGGAACGGAGCAUGGUUGAGGAGGCGAUAGCGAGGUUCAUGGAAGGGGAAGAUGGUGCGGCCAUGAGGGAGAGAGCAAAGGAGCUUCAGAUGAAAGCAAUGGAGGCUUUGGGUAACGCCGGGUCAACUCAGCUGGCUGUAGACAAGUUGGUAGAUCACAUACUAUCACUGUGAGUCAAAGUAUAUGGUGUAGUCAGUCAUGACGUGUAUGGCUACCGGCAUGCAAACAAUAAUAUUGAGUUAGUACAUUGGUCAAGCAAGAACUUGGCAUAAAUGGUAAAUUUAAUGCUAGAAGUUGCGAUGUACAUUAAAAUAAUGAAAAAAUUUGAUUGUGACGUAUAAAUACAGUGCUUAGUAACUCAUAUAUAUACGGAUAUAUAAAUCCCGCCCUAAAAGGAAAAAAAACGCAGGCGUGUGCCUUAAACCAACGACCAACAUCUCAACAAGCAAGGCCACUCCACACAUCACGUCCGCAUAUUGAAAGUGCAUGGAUGAAUCCGGAUACAUAUGAGCCCACUUCAAAAAACAAAGUUCUAAAUGCUAAAAAAAUAUGAGAAAGUUUACACAGGUAUGUCUUAAUGUUUAUAUACGUGCAUAAAUUUCCCAGAAAAAAUAGUUUUUAUGACCUGUGUAAAAAAGACAAAAAAAAAGUGUCGUGAAAUGCUAGUUGGAAGCAUUGAAAUUUAUCUUUUUCACGAAGACAAAACAAAAAUACAUUUUUCAUAAAACUUGUAUGUGUGAAGUUUGCUUCUUUUUUUUACAUUUUGAAACAUGCUUAAAAUGCAUCUUUUCAUAAGUGGGUGCAGAGGCCUAUGGGUGCUCUUUUCAUAAGUGGGUGCAGAGGCCUAUGGAUGCAGGGUGCCCUCUUGUCCGCAUAUAUGCUACCCUCUCCGUUUUAAAAUAAACGACUCAAUUUUGUAUUAGCUUUACUACCUCUUAAUUUUAAAAUAAGUAACUUAACUUUGUACUUGCACGUCAAAGUCAAGUUUCUUAUCAUUUCGAUGUACACUACAACUUCUAGCAUAAAAGUGACCGUUUGCAUCAAGUUCUAACACACCAUCAAUAUAAUUUACUCUAUUUAUAAGUGAUAUCUGCAAAUGAUGCUAUUUUAUACAUAAAGGAACGUAGGGAGUAAUUCAUUACUGAUAUUUGAAAGGGGUCUGGUGAGUGUUGAUAGUUGGCCAGUCGAUGGCAAGACAUUGACCCCCUCUGCUCGCUUUAUCGACCUUCAAGACAGGGAGGUCUCGAUUGUUUUGCUGCAUUUGAUAUUCCCCUUGUAAGAUCUGUAUGUGUGCGGUGUCAAGGCCAAAUUCGCCGAUGAAAAUGGUCCAACCAACUCCGUCGUGGUUGGUAGAAGCUCGAGGACCCAAUUAGGUUUAUGUAAUCUUAUUGAAGGGCAUAUUUGCUUGUAUUAUGGAUCUGUUUGUAAUUUUGGAAAUUUAGAAGUCUUCCUCUUUUGUUAUGAUGUAAUGACUUUUAUUCAAACCAUAUAUAAGGGAACCCAAACCAAAAACCUUACAAGAUUAUAAGCACAUGCACCCGCCGCCUCCUUCUCCAAAAAUGCUAGGGUUCCUUUUUCUCCAACCAACGUCGUCGUCGACCGCCUCAUCUCCGGUGGCCCUAGGGCCAUGGGGGCACGAUGGAUCCUAGCCCUUGUCGGUGCGAGGGAUCGAAUUUUAGAUGCUUCUUUCGGGUUUUUUAUGAUUUGUGUUCCGUUUAGAAAGACGAGACGACGGUGGCUCCCUGAAGACGGAAUAAGGUUCUCCCCACCUAGGUCCCGUUCUGGUAGUGUCGAAGGGCGUGUGGAGGUGCGUCUCCAGAGGAUCUCGCGGGAUUUAUUCGUGAGUUGUCUUUGGUGGAUCUACUCAGAUCCGGUCUUUGUUCGUCUACGUUCGUGUAUCUUUAGGUUGGAUUCUUCCAUACGCGUCAUUUCGUCACGGUGGCGGUUGAUGUUCUGGUCCACUGGUCUUAUGGAUUCUUAGCACGACGACUUAUCGAUUGUGUAGUAGAAGAAUUUUUCUCCAGCUCAGACGAGGGAUGGGCGAUGAUGACGGUGCGUCUUCGACUCAUUUUCAGUAUUUAUAGUCGUUGCAAGAUGGUCUACAAAUUUGGCUGUAACUUCUAUUAUUUAUAAUAUUCACUGUGCUACUAUGAUUGAAAAUGAAUAGAUCAAAACUUAUGCACGAGAGGUUUGAUUUUUUGAAAAGGAGGCAUCGCCCCGGCCUCUGCAUCGAGUGAUGCAUGCGGCCUUUUAAUUGCAUAUUGUAAAAAUAGUCUGAUCCGAGUACAGCAAUCUAAGAAAAACAAAGAAUAAAGAUACAAAGCGCCAUAUGCGCCACAACCAACAAUGGUAAUAGAACUAGAUGACUAGCCACAUAUCAUAUUAUUGAGUCGUCAUCCAAACCGGUUGAAGAUAUCCUGAGCUACCAUCUUUCAGCGGGCACACCCAGUAACCAUAGGCUUCCUGGCUUCCGCAUGAGUGAGUAAUAACCACAUGCGGAUCAAGGUGAUAGCCCUGAAGAUAACCUGCAAAAAUUUAAUAGAUUUGCAUAUGUUAAAAAUUAAAUCAUUCCUGCAGUUCUGUGACAGCCCGAUGCCGACGUUCCAGAAGAUUCCCCCUUCUUUCCGUUUUCGUCGUGUGUCUAUCUUUAUUUGUCGCAUCAUCAUCGCAUCAUGCGCAUCAUCAGCAUUGCAUCGGCGUCUCCGUUGUUGCCAGUUUUCUAAACUGGCAUUCGUUGUUAGUUGCCGGUUAUCGUCGUUGUUCGUUUCGAGCCUGACCACACUCGCACGCGCCCGCGACACCGUCGUAACCCUGUUUUUAAAGCGUGUAUAAUACUUUCUCCGAUUGAGUUGGAAUUUGUCGUGCGGUAUUAUUUAUAUAUAGCUAGGCCGCCUGUCGGGUUUCGUCGCGAUCGGAGACCGUCUGGUACUCGAACGGUCGACCGUAGCGGCACCGUAUUCGGUCUACCGUCGGACGUUAGUCGGUGUUUUUAAAAAUUCGUGCCGCACCGCCCGUUCUCCCUCUCGACUCCCGGUAUCCCCUCUACACGGCCGCAUACCCAUACCCGCGUUCGGAAUCGUCCGAAUCCGACCCCGCGGUUGGAUCCGGAAUGCGAUUUCGGUUAAUCGAGCCCCCCGUUUGUCUAUAUAUAGCCCCCAUGCCAUUAAUUAGAGAGACACACCCCCUCUGCCUUGAAAUCCGUGCCACCUACCCGAAACCCUAGCCUCCCACCUGCUCUCUCUCUCCUCCCCCGCGCCGUCGGCCCGCCAGGCCUAGAUCGGGCCCGGCCGAGCCCAUCGCGCCGCCGCCGUCGUGGCUCGAGCUCCCUGCUCCCGGGCCUCCCUCCCAUGGCCGCCCUGCCUGCCCGAGCACCUCCCUCUGGUCGCCGCGCCGCCGCCGGCCAUCUUGGCCGUCAGGCCCCCUCCUGCGUCGCCCCGCUGCAUCUCGCCGCGCCGGCCAAAGGUCGCCGGAGUUGCUGCCUGUUCCCAUCGCAGAACUCCGCGCAGCAGUCCAGAUCGAAAGGGGCUUCGGCUCCCGUUGCCCAGAUCGCUGCUCCUGGGCCGAGAGCUCGAUUCCCAGCGCCGGAUCCCGUCAAGGUCAUCGCGGAGCCAUGCCUCGCCGGGCUCCCCGCCGCCGUCGCCCUGGUUCCCGCUCGGGAGGAGCCCGACGGGAACCACCCCACUUCCUCGCAGCACGUGGGCCAGCUGACCGCCUCGCCCCGCCUGGGCCGGCCUUCGCAGCGGCCCAGCAGGCGUGCCCCAGCAGCCGCCGUAGCCUCCCCCGCAUGGGCCGGCCCAUCCGCCUCCGAGCAGGCCUGCCUCCUCCCCCAGAUCUGGGCCAAGCCCAUGGGUGAGCAGCUCCUCCCUCAUGCUAUCUAGUGCCUGUGCACCAUGUUGUUGUUUUGCGCCCCUGUUCGGCCCAAAAGUUUAUUAGGUAUUUUCGGAAUUGUAAUUAAAUUCCAGAAAAUAUUACGAUAUUACAACGCCCGUAUCUUUUAUUCCGUAAGUCGGAACGAGGAGUAUUAUAUAUGGUUUUGGGUAUCUUCGCGAGUAGAACACGAUUUCACCACUUGCAUAUUUGUUUGAAGUUGUUUAGCGUGCCUAACGCCUAGUUUAGCGUGUUGUCCUUUUAUGCUCGUGUCCCGUAAUAUUUUCCGCGCGUGUUCGUAUAGCCCGAAUGCCGUAUUAGAAAUGCCUACGUUUUAGGAACUAUUUUUCCGUGUAUUUUAGAGCAGUCAUUUGUAUUUUUGCGUGUAGGGAUUUGCCGGUAGUUUAUUUUCCCGUAUAUAGGUGAUUAUCUCGCAUUAAUGUGUGGCAUUAUUUUGUGUUGCAAACCCCAUAUAUUUUAUAUGUUUCCGGGAUAGAAAAAUCCCAUGGAUUUUUCUGUGCAAUUAGUUUUAGCAUUAGAGCAAGUUAGUCCGCGAGAUAUUUUGCUAAGUUACCCUUUUGUUUAAUUCGUAGGAUUUAUUCCGUGCCUCGUUUGAAUUAGUUGUCAACUAGAGAGUUGAUUUUGGAUGUUUUGUUUAGCCCCUGGUAUUUUUAGUUGCAAUAGAAAUGCAUGUUUAGGUGUGUUCUGCUUGCCCUCAAGUUGCUAGAAAUAGUGAUGUUUUAGACGUGCUGAAAUAUUUCUAAGUCUGAAAUCUGUUAUAUUUUGUUGUUGUCUUGUCUUGCUUGCAUCUUGUGAUCUGUAACUCUUUUGAGGUUGGUCCAAUGAAGUUAGUUGUACCCCUUGUGUUUCUCUAGCAUGUUAUGAAUUUUCAUGUCAUUUGGAGUCCUGUAGCUAUAGGUUUUGCUGCUGUCAAUAUUGCUUCAGAUCGAAAACUGCACUUUCAUGAGGUGUAAUUUUCACUAAGUCUGAAAUAGUGUGUGGGAUGCCAUUUUGCGACUUCUUUCUCUAGUGAUCCUUGCUGCCAUGUUAGUUGUUGUUAGUAGUUUGUAGUAGUGCUUCUUGCCCUCUUCCGUGCCAUGCCUUUCUUGAGCAUAUCGGAGUUGUGUAGCCAUAGUUGUGAGGCGUAGAAAAUGCUAUGUGGCUGAUUUUGGUAGAUUGUAGUCAUUUCUUGUUUUGCUCGUAGUUUUUGAACCGUAGCUCCGAUUUGAUCGAGUCCUACAUGAAACUUGCUUAGAAUCUCGUGUAGUUUCAUUUUCUUUUUCUGGUUGCAUGUGUUGAAGUGCUCGUGACCGUCGUUAUACACAUAUUGCAUUCAUGCCACCAUAUCUUGCAAUGCUUGUAUCUUUUGAUCCUNNNNNNNNNNNNNNNNNNNNNNNNNNNNNNNNNNNNNNNNNNNNNNNNNNNNNNNNNNNNNNNNNNNNNNNNNNNNNNNNNNNNNNNNNNNNNNNNNNNNGGAAGCCCAUAGGCCUUGGGGGUGGCACACCAGCCCUUAGUGGACUGGUGGGACAACCCAAGAAGGCCCUAUGCGCCAUAGGAAGAAAAUGAAAGAGAAAGGAAAAAAAGGGAGGAGGUGGGAAAGGAAAGAAGGACUCCACCCACCAAACCAAGUAGGACUCGGUUUGGGAGGGGGAGACCUUCCCCCCUUGGCUCGGCCGACCCCCUUGGGGCUCCUUGAGCCCCAAGGCAAGGCUCCCCCUCUCCCACCUAUAUAUACGGAGGUUUUAGGGCUGAUUUGAGACGACUUUUCCACGGCAGCCCGACCACAUACCUCCACGGUUUUUCCUCUAGAUCGCNNNNNNNNNNNNNNNNNNNNNNNNNNNNNNNNNNNNNNNNNNNNNNNNNNNNNNNNNNNNNNNNNNNNNNNNNNNNNNNNNNNNNNNNNNNNNNNNNNNNNNNNNNNNNNNNNNNNNNNNNNNNNNNNNNNNNNNNNNNNNNNNNNNNNNNNNNNNNNNNNNNNNNNNNNNNNNNNNNNNNNNNNNNNNNNNNNNNNNNNNNNNNNNNNNNNNNNNNNNNNNNNNNNNNNNNNNNNNNNNNNNNNNNNNNNNNNNNNNNNNNNNNNNNNNNNNNNNNNNNNNNNNNNNNNNNNNNNNNNNNNNNNNNNNNNNNAUCACCAACCUCCGGAGCACCGUCACGCUGCCGGAGAACUAUUCUACCUCUCCGUCUCUCUUGCUGGAUCAAGAAGGCCGAGAUCAUCGUCGAGUUGUACGUGUGCUGAACGCGGGAGGUGCCGUCCGUUCGGCACUAGAUCGUGGGACUGAUCACGGGACGGUUCGCGGGGCGGAUCGAGGGACGUGAGGACGUUCCACUACAUCAACCGCGUUCACUAACGCUUCUGUUGUACGGUCUACAAGGGUNNNNNNNNNNNNNNNNNNNNNNNNNNNNNNNNNNNNNNNNNNNNNNNNNNNNNNNNNNNNNNNNNNNNNNNNNNNNNNNNNNNNNNNNNNNNNNNNNNNNUAGAACUGUGUAGUGUGCUUGAGAGAAAGAAUGCCCGUCCAUACAUACUUUUGCUUUCCUUCCUAGUGUGCCUUUUCCUGUCAGCCUACCCUCAUACCGAGAUUCAGGAACACCAAUCGGCUUAAGGUCAGGAAGAAAGUCCACACAAAACUCAAUGACCUCCUCUGUUCCAUAGCCCUUGGAGAUGCUUCCUUCGGGCCUAGCACGGUUACGAACAUAUUUCUUUAAGACUCCCAUGAACCUCUCGAAGGGGAACAUAUAUUGUAGAAACAACGGACCGAGAAUUCUAAUCUCUUCGACUAGGUGAACUAGGAGGUGUGUCAUUAUAUUGAAGAAGGAUGGCGGGAACAACAACUCAAAGCUGACCAGACAUUGGACCAAACAUAUAGCCACCACCAUGCUUGUUCGCAUCGGCUGCAUCUCGAAAAGAAUGCACGCCUUCUCUGUAAGCGGUUGUGCAUCGAUCACCGUACAUCCAUGGAUGACUCAUCUGUGUUAUACGACAGUAUAUCAAAUACAAUCACGAUCCUAAAAAUUACUACCGCACCGUCUAAACGAGGAAAUAUAGUUGCUAUCCUUUUAGAAUAAGUAGAAAUAAAGAGGAAGAGGUUUAAGCAUGGCUCAGGCAUCUCAUAUCGUAGUUGUGUUCGGUGAACUGAAGCGGCAUCGCUCUAACACACAUUUCAACAAACACCUCUAGUGCAUAAAAAAAAGUGGAGAGCAAGCACCCAGCCACAAUCCUCCAUCCAAGAAAAAUGCAAGGAAGAGGGGAGAGGGGGGCUGUGCUAUAUAUAGGCAGAGGACUUUAGUCCCGGUUUGAGACACAAACCGGGACUAAAGGUGGCGCACAUGCGGGCUACCCACCGCGUAGCCCUUUAGUCCCGGUUUGGGACACGAACCGGGACUAAAGGCUCCUUACGGGCCGGGACUAAAGCCUCGAGGGAGGCAUUGAGAAUUGGGGCGACGUGGCCGGGCCUUUAGUCCCGGCCCAGAGGCAGGCCGGGACUAAAGGGUCCAGGCCAAAGGCCCGUUUUCCACUAGUGAAUAAUUAACGUGGAGUUUCGUCAAUGUGCAACUCGUUGCAUAUUGAACUCUACUUAAUGUGUAGUGUUUGUUUGUCGUGAAUUGUCAUGCCGUGACUUGCAUGUUUUUAGCUGCUCAUGCAUCAUUUGUGUUGUGCAUCGUGUGGUGAAUUCCGUGUGUUGAUUUGUGUUUCCGGUUUGCUUCGUCUCGAUAGAGUUCCGGAGCGUGCCGGAUUGUCACGGAGUCAUUCUUCUUCCAAGCGGGAUCUCAGGCAAGAUGACCAUUUCCCCAGAUACCAUUACUAUCAUUACCAUGCUAGUUUUAUCGCUUCUAUCGAUUAUGUCUCGUUGCCUACCACCUGUUAAAUAUCAGCCUCUCAACAAUGCCAUGUUAACCUUCACCUGUUCGACCUAGCAAACCACUGAUUGGCUAUGUUACCGCUUGCUUAACCUUGUGUUAGCGUUGCUAGUUGCAGGUGCAGAUGCUUCCAUGCGAAAGCAUGGGUUCCUUGUCAUAUCACCAUAUUUAAAUGCUAUUUAACUUAAUGCACCUAUACACUUGGUAAAAGGUGGAAGGCUCGGCCUUUCUAGCCUGGUGUUUUGUUNNNNNNNNNNCCCCUUAGUUUCCGACUACCGGUGUUAUGUUCCAUAAAUGAGCGCUCCUAACACGAUCGGGGUUGUUAUGGGGACUCCCUUGAUAAUUCGUUUAGAUUAAGAAUGGUCUGGCAAGGCCCAACUUUGGUAGUACAUUUGCCUAAUAACCUAAUAAUAAUGCAUAGGGACCCGCCGGCACCCGCAGACUAUUUUAAUCAACCCCCGGGCCAGUGCUCCUCAUGAGUGUUGGUCCCACCUGAGCGAUGUCUGGCGCCCCUCUGGUCACCCGGAGGUUUAGAGAUCCCAACGUCUAGCUCAUCCGUCGUGUCCUGAGAACGAGGUACGCGACUCCUAUCGGGAUCAUCGACACGUCGGGCGGCCUUGCUGGAUUAGUUUUACCUUUGACGAGAUAUCACGUGCAUCGGGAUUCCGGUGAUGCUUUGGGUAAUCUCAGAGUUGAGGUUUUCCACUAGGGAAUCCGACGAGAUCGCGAGCUUCGUGAUUGAGGAUUUCUAUGCGGCUUGUGGUAAUUUGUGAUGGACUAGUUGGAGCACCCCUGCAGGGUUAAAUCUUUNNNNNNNNNNGCCGACACGUCAGGUGGCCUUGCUGGAGUAGUUUUAUCUUUGACGAAAUAUCUUGUGCAUCGGGAUUCCGGUGAUGUUUUGGGUGAUCUCAGAGUUGAGUUUUUCCACUAAGGAAUCCGACGAGAUCGCGAGCUUCGUGAUUGAGGAUUUCUAUGCGGCNNNNNNNNNNNNNNNNNNNNNNNNNNNNNNNNNNNNNNNNNNNNNNNNNNNNNNNNNNNNNNNNNNNNNNNNNNNNNNNNNNNNNNNNNNNNNNNNNNNNAGAGAUGAAUUCUCAUUCGAAACCCUGAUACUUCGAGAGAGAUUGUCCGUUUUGUACACGAAGNNNNNNNNNNUCCUUUGAAUGGUGCAUUUUGAACACACUAAAAGUAUGGAGUUCAAAUAAGUUCACAAAAAUGAAAUCCCUUUUGUAAGAGAUGAGUUCUCGUUCGAAACCCUGAUACUUCGAGAGAGANNNNNNNNNNCGAGAUGAGUUCUCGUUGGAAACCCUGAUACUUCGGGAGAGAUUGCCCGUUUUGUACACGAAGUGCAUCCAGUUUUUGUCGUAGCCCUCUCAACUUUUUAACACAUGCUAUGUGGGUGAAAUGAUGAUAGCAUGCCAACUUUCAACAUUUUCAGAGUUCAUUUGUAGUGCUUUUCAAUUUCAGGGUCAACUAGCUCAAAAAAAUAAGUAAAUCCAUGAAAUAUACCAAAUGAAGUUAGAAAUUGUUGAAAUUUUGUACUGUGCCUUUGAAUGGUGCAUUUUGAACACACAAAAAGUAUGGAGUUCAAAUAAGUUAACAAAAAUGAAAUCCCUUUGUAAGAGAUGAGUUCUCGUUCGAAACCCUGAUACUUCGAGAGAGAUUGUCCGUUUUGUACACGAAUUGCAAAAAAUAAAUACAUAAAGUUCUCUCAUAAAACAACAUACAACUAUGUAAAACAUUUAAAUGCAACAACAAACGCGAUCAAAAUCGCAACUAAGGUAACAAUUGACCCAACAACAUAAUAAUACCAAGCCUCUUUAUCAAUGGCAUAUUUUCUAAUAUUCCUAAUCUUCAAGNNNNNNNNNNNNNNNNNNNNNNNNNNNNNNNNNNNNNNNNNNNNNNNNNNNNNNNNNNNNNNNNNNNNNNNNNNNNNNNNNNNNNNNNNNNNNNNNNNNNGGGAAACAAAAAUUUUCCUACGCGCACGAAGACCUAUCAUGGUGAUGUCCAUCUACGAGAGNNNNNNNNNNUUUUUGUUUCCCUUGCGACGUUCCCCAACAGUAUGUGGAUACCGACAAUCGAAUCUUGGGCAAGAAACAUACUGAAGGACAAAGGGAAUGACAUACGGGAUUAUAUGAAUCCUUGGCACUGAGGUUCAAUCGAUAAGAUCUUCGGAGAAUAUGUAGGAUCCAAUAUGGGCAUCUAGGUCCCGCUAUUGGAUAUUGACCGAGGAGUGUCUCGGGUCAUGUCUACAUAGUUCUCGAACCCGCAUGGUCUGCACACUUAAGGUUCGAUAAUGUUUUAGUAUGGUUGAGUUAUAUGUGUGGUUACCGAAUGUUGUUCGGAGUCCCGGAUGAGAUCACGGACGUCACGAGGGUUUGCGGAAUAGUCCGGAAACGAAGAUUGAUAUAUAGGAUGGUUUCAUUUGGUCACCAGAAAGUUUCGGUCAUUACCGGCUGUGUACCGGGAGCGACGAAUGGGUUCCGGGUGUUUACCGAGAGGAGCCCACCCACCCGGGAGUGAGCCCAAGGCCCUAGGGUGGUGCACCAAGUCUUUAGUGGGCUGGUGGAGUCGGUCCAUGAAGGCUAUGGCGCCACAAGCAAAAAUACCAAAGGAAAGAAGAAAAAAGAGAGGGAGGUGGGAAGGAAGGAGUGGACUCCUUCCCCACCAAACCGAAUUGGGGUUGGAGUCCAACUCCUCCCCCUUGGCCGGCGCACCCUUGAGGGCCUUGAUCCUCAAGGCUUGCCCCUCCCCUCCUCCUAUAUAUAUUGGUGGUUUAGGGCUGUUUUGAGACACAACUUUGCCACGUGCAAUUCUAGCAUAUUCCAUAUAGUUUUACCUCUAGAUCGGAUUUAUGCGGAGCUCGGGCAGAGCCCUGCAGGAGUAGACCAUCACCAUCCCCGGAGCGCCGUCACGCUGCCGGAGAACACGUCUACUUCUCCGUCUUGCUUGCUGGAUCAAGAAGGCCGAGAUCAUCGUCGAGUUAUACGUGUGCUGAACGCGGAGGUGUCGUUCGUUCGGCACUAGAUCGGAACGGAUCGUGGGACGGAUCGCGAGACGGUUGUGGGAUGGAUCGUGGGACGGUUCGAGGGACGGAUUGUGAAGACGUUCCACUACAUCAACCGCGUUUCUUAAACGCUUCCUGCUGGGCGAUCUACAAGGGUACGUAGAUCUAAUCUCCUCUCGUAGAUGGACAUCACCAUGAUAGGUCUUCGUGUGCGUAAGAAAAUUUUUGUUUCCCAUGCAACGUUCCCCGACAGCCCCAUGGUGAGGAUGAAGGCGGCGACCGGCGGCGGUGGCGCAUAGGGCCCCGCGACGAGAGAGCAGAUGCCCGCAACCGCCUGCCCUAGCUCCAGCAGCGCGGCCAUCAUCUCCGCCGGGGUGAAGACGAUGGCGGCGGAGACCGGCGGUGGCUAGGCGGGCACGGGGGACGGCCUGGUAAGGGCCGGCACGGCUCCCGUGGUGGCCAGCGGUGUGGUGGUGGUCGACAGCGGAAGGUUGGGGGUGGGCGGAGGUGACGACAUGAUCGAACCCGAGCUACCUGAUACCAGAGUUGGCUUUUUGCCCUCAGGAUCGAUCACACGAUCACCCUGCAGCUCGACUAGUCGUGUACGCGCAACUCCGCUCAACGUAUACGAACUAGCUGUAGCACUCGAUAUCUCGCCGGCGCUUACGCAAACACCGGACCAGAACACACGCACGCAAACACAACAACACGAAGAUGGUCAGAGGCACGUGACAUGGCUCAUAAUUAUCUCUUUAUUACUUUUCUCGUUUUUUGAUACUUACAAACUCACGUAGCCUCAUGUAUAUAUAGACACAUGAAGCCAUGACCCAAUAACUUGCAACCGACUCAGACUAGUACCACUCAAAGCUGAUUCGAAUACAAUACUAAACCUGCGUGUACACAAGUCCUAUCAUAUCACGGACACGGCCAAACAAAGCAAAGCUACACACCUAUAGAACUAGGAAACCGACUCAAACUUACCUAAACUAAGCUCACCGCAACGCUGAUCACGAACACUAACCAAACUAACACAUACGUGUUUGGAUUACUCUAACAACCAAGUUGAUAGGAACCGAAUCACUACGAGGGCGAGGCCUCAGAUUAUAUGGAUGAAAGAGAGGUUGGCGGGGCGAGGCGCGCGGCCGGCAGUGACGAGGCGCCGUGAUCGCGCGAGAGAGAGAGAGACUCGAGGCAGCUAGGGUUUAGGGCGACGGCUCCCGUUGGGAGGCGGGCAAAUAUGAUUGCUUCUGCUUGAUUAAAACUGAGUCCUUACACGAGUAUAUACUAGCAAAACAGCCCGUGCGUUGCAACGGAAGAGAACACACACUCCUAACGCAAUAUAUUUUCACAUGGCAUCACAUUUGUGUUGCCGACAAUGACUUUAGUGCUCACACAACGAAAACGCGUUUGAAUGUACAGUCACUCAAAAUAAGAUGAAAAAUAUAUUGUUUCUCCCUACGAGGUUUUUCAAAGGUGAGCAUGUGUGGUUAACGAUGUUUUCUUUGUCUCAAUUUGGUUUUAAUUUAAUGGAUGUUUAUUGCAAUUCGUAUCAUCGCCGGAAAGAGAGAAAAAAAAGGACCACUCUAGAUUAAGUUUGCACCAAAAAUAAUAUUUAAGAAGUAUUCAACAGCUAAAAAUAACAUCCUAUUUAGAUUCUACAUAUUUUUUUUAAUCAAAUUUCAUAUAUAAGAUGUUAAAAUCGGAGUUACGGUUUAAAAGAUAUGGAUAAUUUUGUUCUAGAUAAAAUUUGAAUUGAUUAACUGAAAAGUUAGGGUUUUUUUUGCUGAAAUACGGAGGGCGGGUUGAUUACCUUAAACAUCAGGGGGUUUUCUGAACAAUGCAAAAAACGAUUCAUUUUCUGACUUAAAUCCAAAAUGCGGAUUGAUUUCAGGAAACGUCGGGGACUGUUUUAUAAAAAUGGCACGACGAAACGUUUUCCUCACUUAAGAAAGGACUGCAGGUUGAUUAACUGAAAAUGAAGGGACUUUUUUGCAAAAAAGUCACGACGAACGAGUAGAAACCGUAUUUGCUUUAUUAUUAGGGAGAGAUAAUCUCUCUAUGUUAAUAAAUAUGGUAAAUUGGGCUAAACCCCUAAUAACGAUAAGAUAGUUGGGCCAGGCCUUUUAACUGCCUGCGUUAGUGGCUCCCCUCCUGAUCAUAACAACAAGUCCAGUAAAAAAAACAUAUUUCCAAAAACAGCCAAGCAAAACCUGUACUGGAGUGUAUCAACGUGCAGGUGAUGAACAUGGGAGGUUGCAAAUUUUUGAACUGAAACUGUAAAGGAAAGUGCAUUUUUCUGAUUGGUUCAGCUUUGAUGAGAAAGGGGAGGUAACAGUGAGAAUUGUGAGUAUGAAAACAAACAAGAUAACACCUACAAGGAGAAGAUCAAUAACAAGAGGCACAGUGCUAUAGGUAAGGUUUAACCCUCAGGAUCACCAAUUCUUGCAAGGUCACAAUGGAUUGGCUAAAUCACAUCAACUAUCCUAAGAAGUACAUCAAGUAGUACAUUGGUGCACUUUGAGAAGGCAGUGCAGGCAGCCACUAAAACACUACUGCUGGAGAUGUGACUGAAGGAUGAUACCUGUCCAAAUGAAGGCAAAGGGUGGUCUUCAAGAAUAACAUUAACAUUACAUGCAUGCGCCGAAUUUUACCGUCAGAGCCCAGCUAGUAAUUUAUCCAUGGGUGCUGAUUUCCUAUCUAAGUCUAUGCAACGAAAUAAAUUUAACUGCCUAAAACACCAAUUUUUUCCAAGGAAAUACAACUUCUUGCAAUUGCAAGGAGAUAUUGUCACGCCCAAGAUGCGACCCUAUCCUCAAUUUGGCACGAAGGCCUCGUCAGGGAUAGACGCGCAUCUCGUCGUGUCGCAAUAAUGAAUAUUGUUACAAGUACAUGUACUGAAAAAAAAAGAUAUAUAUAUACAGAGUUGGCUUACACUCGCCACAAGCUACAUCANNNNNNNNNNGUCAGUACAUUAUAUAAACAUCAAGAGUAAGAGUAGGGUCCGACUACGGACGAAAACAAACGACAAAAGAAGAACGACGUCCAUCCUUGCUAUCCCAGGCUGCCGGCCUGGAACCCAUCAUAAAUCGAUGAAGAAGAAGAAGAAGAAGCAACUCCAAAUGUACAAUCAACGCGCUCGCGUCCAGUAACCUUUACCUGUACCUGCAACUGGUGUUGUAGUAAUCUGUGAGCCACAGGGGACUCAGCAAUCUCAUUUCCAAAGGUAUCAAGACUAGCAAAGCUUAAUUGGGUGAGGUAAGGUUAAGUGGUGAGGUUACAGCAGCGGCUAAGCAUGUAUUUGGUGGCUAACUUACGAGUACCAGAAAUAAGAGGGGGAAGAUCUACGCAUAGCGGACGUGAACUACAAACGAUCAAAUGAAUGAUCCUAAACACCUACCUACGUCAGACAUAACCCCAUCGGUCCUCGAUCGGAGAAAGAACUCACGAAAGAGACAGUCACGGUUACGCACACAGUUGGCAUGUUUUAAUUAAGUUAACUUCAAGUUAUCUAGAACCAGUGUUAAACAAAGCUUCCACGUUGCCACAUAACCGCGGGCACGGCUUUCCGAAAGAUUUAACCCUGCAGGGGUGCUCCAACUAGUCCAUCACAAAUUACNNNNNNNNNNNNNNNNNNNNNNNNNNNNNNNNNNNNNNNNNNNNNNNNNNNNNNNNNNNNNNNNNNNNNNNNNNNNNNNNNNNNNNNNNNNNNNNNNNNNUGAUGACCUUGUCUCAGAAGGGCUCCGCCCGAGCUCCGCAGAAACGCGAUCUAGAGGAAAAACCGUGGAGGUAUGUGGUCGGGCUGCUGUGGAAAAGUCGUCUCAAAUCAGCCCUAAAACCUCCGUAUAUAUAGGUGGGAGGGAGGGGACCUUGCCUUGGGGGGGGGGGUCAGCCGAGUCCAAGGGGGAAGGCUCCCCCCCAAACCGAGUUGGACUUGGUUUGGUGGGUGGGAGUCCUUCCUUCUCUUCCCACCUCCUCCUUUUUUUUUCUUUUCUCUUUGAUUUUCUUUCCUAGGCGCAUAGGGCCCUUUUGGGCUGUCCCACCAGCCCACUAAGGGCUGGUGUGCCACCCUCAAGGCCUAUGGGCUUCCCCGGGGUGGGUUGCCCCCCCCCCCCCNNNNNNNNNNNNNNNNNNNNNNNNNNNNNNNNNNNNNNNNNNNNNNNNNNNNNNNNNNNNNNNNNNNNNNNNNNNNNNNNNNNNNNNNNNNNNNNNNNNNNNNNNNNNNNNNNNNNNNNNNNNNNNNNNNNNNNUUCCCGGUAAUUCCGAAAACCUUCCUGUAAUCAAAUGAGGUCAUCCUAUAUAUCAAUCUUCGUUUCCGGAGCAUUUCGGAAACCCUCGUGACGUCCGUGAUCUCAUCCGGGACUCCGAACAACAUUCGGUAACCAACCAUAUAACUCAAAUACGCAUAAAACAACGUCGAACCUUAAGUGUGCAGACCCUGCGGGUUCGAGAACUAUGUAGACAUGACCCGAGAGACUCCUCGGUCAAUAUCCAAUAGUGGGACCUGGAUGCUCAUAUUGGAUCCUACAUAUUCUACGAAGAUCUUAUCGUUUGAACCUCAGUGCCAAGGAUUCAUAUAAUCCCGUAUGUCAUUCCCUUUGUCCUUCGGUAUGUUACUUGCCCGAGAUUCGAUCGUCAGUAUCCGCAUACCUAUUUCAAUCUCGUUUACCGGCAAGUCUCUUUACUCGUUCCGUAAUACAAGAUCCCGCAACUUACACUAAGUUACAUUGCUUGCAAGGCUUGUGUGUGAUGUUGUAUUACCGAGUGGGCCCCGAGAUACCUCUCCGUCACACGGAGUGAUAAAUCCCAGUCUUGAUCCAUACUAACUCAACUAACACAUUCGGAGAUACCUGUAGAGCAUCUUUAUAGUCACCCAGUUACGUUGCGNNNNNNNNNNACCACACGGAGUGACAAAUCCCAGUCUUGAUCCAUACUAACUCAACGAACACCUUCGGAGAUACCUGUAGAGCAUCUUUAUAGUCACCCAGUUACNNNNNNNNNNUCACACGGAGUGACAAAUCCUUGUCUUGAUCCAUACUAACUCAACUAACACCUUCGGAGAUACCUGUAGAGCAUCUUUAUAGUCACCCAGUUACGUUGCGACGUUUGAUACACACAAAGCAUUCCUCCGGUGUCAGUGAGUUAUAUGAUCUCAUGGUCAUAGGAAUAAAUACUUGACACGCAGAAAACAGUAGCAACAAAAUGACACGAUCAACAUGCUACGUCUAUUAGUUUGGGNNNNNNNNNNNNNNNNNNNNNNNNNNNNNNNNNNNNNNNNNNNNNNNNNNNNNNNNNNNNNNNNNNNNNNNNNNNNNNNNNNNNNNNNNNNNNNNNNNNNGAGAAGAAAAAUGAAAAUAAGUGUUAAUAGUUUAAUUUUGCUAUUGUAUAUGCUUAAGUGUUAAUAGUUUAUUUUUAGCAAGAAAAUUAAUAGAACUAGUUUAUUUUUUUAGUUCAUUUUACGAUGCCUAUCCCGCAUCCUCGUCUUCGACUCGGCGGAGGACACCUGCUUGAUCAGAGGGGCCCUGUCCGGGACUGGGCUCCGCCCGGCUGGUAUUGGGAGGUGCUACCUUCCGGGGGGCGUAGGUUGGUGAGGAGCCAGCCCGUCGUUGACCAGAUCCUUGUUUGGUGGCGGUCGCGUGGGCCAGUGAGGGUGCCGAGGCUUCCGGACACCACGGAGGUGGUACGUCACCGUGUCAGCGAGGAGGAUGAGCACGUCCGUCGCUACAUGGUUGCGUUGGAGGGUAGGUUCCAGCAUACCUGGCAGGUUUUUCGGGGAUCUCACUGGAGCUAUGAUCCAGUGAUGGUUCCUUCUCUUUGGGUGUCCACCGCCCGCGCCGAUACCCGUCGGGCGCUACGGUUCUAGAUGUAUUAGUGAUGCUAUAUGUAUGAUAGUAUUCGAGGAGUAUUAAUGAUAAUAUUCGACGAUGUACGGACAAAAGUGAUGAUGUAUUAGCUUAUAAUUGAAUGCAUGCUAAUUUGAAUACUACUUUAUUUUACAAUUUGGUUUUGCUUAUUGAAUGCUCAAAUUGGAAAAUUACUCCUACUUUGAAUACUAUGCAGAAAUCUAGGAGUCUCAAAUUGGAAAAGUACUCCUACUUUGGUUUUUGAUACAAAGGUUAAGAGAAUCCGUUUUUUGCAGAACUAUGGAUCCACAUAUCAGGAACCUCGAAGAGGAAGAACUUCUGGAAGAUAUAAUCAAAGACGGCCCCGACGUUGAACCAGCUGAAUCUCCGUCGUUAUAUCUAAACCAGGACAUUGGAAUGGAGGUCGAGCGACACGAAGAUGAAGCCGAUGGGGCAGGAGAUAGGUCCAAUGACGGAGAAGGUGAUAGCUCCAUUGAUGGAGAAGCCGGUGAAGAGGAGAAGUCCGGCGAGGUAUACAUAUGAAGUUCGACAAUCACUCGUAAUAUGUGAAAAAUAUUGGAGAUAGCUCUAUAUUGUAUACAUAUACAUUCAUUUGACGAAUGUUUCUCCCUCUUAGGCCUCCACAUCGAGCAAAACUACGAAACGAGGCCCGACUAGAAAGUUGGAUGCACGGACGCAUUACACAUUUGAGGUGAUAUUUCCUACGAGCGAACCCAAGCUUCCUAAGAAUGCUGCUGACACAUUCAAGAAGCAAUGCGGAGUUCUCGUUAGGGAUCACGUCCCGAUCAGCGUUCGGGAGUGGAACAAGCGCAAAGGGGCAGCCGAUAGUGACUAUGUCGCCGAAAGGUACAAAGAUAAUCUUUGGAAUGAUCUCAUGUCACAUUUCAACCUGCCAGAAUGUGAGAAUGAAUACGUCGCAGACAAACUGAGGGCCAAAGUCAAGCAGUGGACUCUGAAGAAGAUGGCCGAACUGUUCCGUAGCUGGAAGAAGAAGCUAUUGAAAAACUAUCUGAAGACACAGAAAGUGCCAGUAUUCGAGGGGUAUCUAGCCAAGCAGGCGAAUCACUGGAAGGCAUUUCAAGAGUACAAGGAGUCAGAAGAUGCCCAGGCAUUAUCAGAAAAGAACAAGAUAAAUGCCGACAAGAAGAUAUAUCACCACAAGCUGGGGCCAGGGGGCUAUGAGACUGCCAUCCCAAAGUGGGAUAAGAAAGAGCAAGAUCUGAUAGAUAAAGGCAUCGUACCUGAACCACUCCGUGAUGAGUGGGAAUUGAGAGCAAGAAAUUGGUUCCUUGCGCAUGAUGGGUCAUACGACGAAACAACAGGGGACCUCAUCUGCAAUGACAAUCUUGGGAUACCCAGGGAGAAUUGGAAAAGGAUAGUGAAAGAAAUUAAGGAGGGAAGAAGAAAGUUCACUGUAGAUAAAGAGAAAGAUUUGCUCACACUGGUCCUCGGCAAUGACGAACAUGGAGGACGAACGCGAGGCUUCGGUCCUUCUUACCCGUGGUGGCUUGGGUUUGCCAGAGACCAAGACACUUACAGAAGCCGAGAGAGAGCAAAGAAGCGGCAGCAGGAUGAGGAGAAUGACAAGUUCAACCAGUUGCUUGCCAGGAUUAACGAGCAACAGAAGCAGAUUGAUGAGCUUAGAGGAGUAGCGCGCCAGGAAGAUCCUGCACUUGAUAUUACCGGCGCCCCGUUUAAGCGGAAAAGCAGCGUGGCUGAAUUUGAGGCCCCGCCCGACGAUGCACGAAGAAUGAUAGAGGGCGGUCCCGGCUACCCCGUGGAUGGAAUCAAGGAGUCAACAUCAUGUGAACUCCAUCAGAAAUUCAAGAACAUAUCCAUGAAGGUGGCCGUCGGACAAGCUUUACCUUCUGGCCCUGAUGCACGCUGGCAUGGCCGUGAGAUUCCAGCUGGCUUUGCUAAAGUCGGGGUGGAUGAAAUCAUGACGGGGUUUCAUGAUAUGGAGCUCGACAUAGCUGGACCCGAAGAUGAGAGGACACUCGGAGAAGUAUUGGGUGGAGUCAUCCUAUGGGACAAGAACUACAUCAAGCUUCCAGGCUCGGCCCCAAGGACAACACCGCCUCUGAGUCGUCGCAGGUCACCUACACCUCCAUUACCUCCAAGCCCUCCACAUGACGUCGGCCAGCACAACACGAGUCCAUCUCGAUCACCGCCGUCGGACUUGGGUCGUCCGUCUCCGCCGCCGCCCGCAGAUGAUACUAAGCGGAAGCGUGCCAGCAAGAACGCUUCGUCGAUGAUUUCUAAGGGACGGAGCUCCCCAAAGCGCAAACUGUCGCCCCUCCCAAAGGUACCUCAUGCUAAUCUUCCUAUCAGACCUUAUUAUCGUACCCCCGAGGAAAACGCCAGGAUAGCAAAGGAACAACAUGAGGCGCAGAUGAAAAGGAAGGAACCCGAGCCCCACCCGAAAUACACCGAGAAGAACAUAGCAUGGGCAAAAGACUUCAUAACCACUCCAUCACAGUAUGACUUACACUAUAAGCCUGAUGACUAUACACGCACAUUGCAGAAGGAAGUGAAAAAGAGCAGGUCACAUGCAAGUGCAAGUGGGAGAAAAUCAAGUUCAACUACAAGCAAGAAAAAAUCAGACGUUCCUCAGCUUGGACAACAGGCCAAAUAGUCGAUCCCACCCCUCAAGGUGUUAACCGAGAAUGUUCCCCCUCCGGUGCAGGGGCAAGCUUUUGAAAAAGCAAAGGAGUUGGCGGAUGAAUGUGGUAUCUUGGUUGAAAUUUUGCUGGCUUCCCAAGACGACAGGAUACCCAAGGCUGUGGUAGCCCCUAAGCCACAGUUUGUCAUGGGGGAGCCUUUGGUUAGCAAAGAUGAUCUCCCAACAAAUAUGCGUUACUUGCAUAAAUGGUACUUAAGUGAAUCAAAGAAUGGGAGAACGAUGAUCGUGCUGAGUGUCCCACAGGAGUACUACGGCCGCUCCGAAGAAAUCCAUAUCGACUUUGAUGAACUCUUCCAGAUGUACAAUGGCGACGCCCUCGACAAAUCGCUUGUGAGUUGCUAUUGUCUGUAAGUUUUUCAAUUCGUUGUCUACAUAUAACUUGUUUAGUUAUUUCAAUUCAUUGUCUAUAUAUAACUUGUACUCUAUUAUGCAGAAUGAAGAUUCUGGAGUGUAAAAGUAAGAACAUCAUAAAUAUUGGGUUUAUUGAUCCAGAUAAAAUACAUAUAGCGACGCUAACUAAUUAUCCCAAGGAGACGGAGGAAAACCUUCUAAGGUUUCUAAGAGAUCAGAAUUUCUGUGACCACAUACUGUUUCCAUACAACUUCAGGUGAGGGUCUUUACUCUGUUGUGUCCAUUCACUUAUAAGUGUAAUUGAUAAGUUGCUCACACACACACACACACACACACAUAUAUAUAUAUAUAUAUACAUGUGCAGCUUUCAUUGGAUUCUGUUGGACAUUCAAAUUGAUAAGGGAAGAGUUGAUGCCUUCGACCCAUUAUCGAGACCCUUGGAACAGUUCCAAAGCCUACAGGACAUGCUCCAAGGGUAAUUUUAAUCAUUCUUUCGCUCUAUCGGUCUCUUUCGAUGGAUUUUCUGAUAUAUCAAUUAAUGAAAAACUUAGCAAAUCAUUAUCCUUGUCGGGCAGGGUUUGGAAUCGGUUCAAGUGCGUGACUCCCGGUAACUUUCCUGAGAAGCUGACCUUUAGAGCGGCUCAGGUAAGUAGUAGUAUGAUAUACUUCUAUUAAUUUUCAAUACAUUUAUGAUGCUAGAUUAUUAUUUUGGUUAUAUAUAUUCCAUUCUCGUAAAGUGCGACGAGCAGCCACGGGGAACGCAUCUAUGCGGAUACUAUGUUUGCGAGACCAUUCGCAUGUUUACCUCUGAGUUCAAGGAGCAAAGAUUCGACGUAAGCAAUGAACGUUCACACCUCUAUUUUUACCCGUCAUUCUUUGUUAUCAUGAUUGAUAUUCAUAUUCAUCUACUCUUCUUAUAUAGCACACGGCCAUGAGGACGACGGUCCUACCAGAGCAACGCGCGAUUGGUGUUGCAGAGGAGCUUGCGGAAUUCUGAGGACGGAAGCUAUAGAAGACAAAGGACGAUUUAAUGUAGCUAAGGGCCAUUACUCAUGUUCGUCCAUGUAAUCGAAUAGACGGGCUCUAGUCCCGAUAGUUCAGAUCUCCAUAUAAUUGUAUAUAUAUGAUCGCUUGUAAGAUAAGUUAAUCUUAUAUAUAUAUAUAUAUGCAUAAUUAUUUCUAUUUUAAAUUAUAUGAAAACUAAUUUCCGAACAUAAAACGAGGCAUCACGUUAAUCUCCUGAACACCUAAACCCUAAAACCCUAAAACCCAAAAAUAAUUUCAUUCAAAAAAAAUCCAAAAGCCAGCAAAAUCUGAAAAUCUUUAGUCCCGGACCGUGUAACGAACCGGGACUAAAGGGCCUGCCCCUGGGGCGCUACGAGGCGCCCACGUGGAGCACCUUUAGUCCCGGCGUGUAAGAGGGCCGGGACGAAAAGGUUAGGCCUUUAGUCCCGCCCCUUUAGUCCCGGUUGGUGAACCGGGACUAAAGCCCCUUACGUGUCGGGGCUAUAGGCCCUGUCCCCACUAGUGUAACGAACAAUCUCGUACAACUAUUGUACUGCAAAACAGACCAUCGAACAUAUGUAUCCUACACUAUUUGCACAUUUCAACCAUGUAUGAUUCUAGAUAUCAAUGGAUGUGCUUGCUUACUCAGUUCACGGCACGUCACCACACCCCUCGAUGGCAUGAUGAGCAGAAGCAGCAUGUACUUAUCGACGAUCGCCUUAUGCACAUCGAUGGCCAGCCAAACCGACGGAGACUUCUCAGAGGCUGACGAUCAGGAAAAUUAGCUUGAGGCGCAUGGCUACCCGACGGGCGCUGGAGGAAGCCAUUGUUUUGUGGUCGUCGAUGAGGAGUCACUGCAACUAAAAUCUAAACUAUACGACCCAAAUCGACACAAACUGAAGACAAUAAGAAAUAUAAAAUUACCGAAAAGAAAUAGUUAAUACCUGAAACUGCAAAAAUAAAGGCCUGCAUCUCCUGGGAAGGCCAUACAAACAAUGAGAGCCAUAAAAAACCUGUACCGGUAUAAAUAGCCAUCCCCUAGCUCAAGGAAAUAAUUAAAGAGCAAGCAAGUAGAAAGGGAAAUGAUGAUGACAGAAUAUGAAAUAACCGCACCAAUAGAGAGAAAAGAAAGUGGUCGCUGGUGGUUAACGCACUGAAUUUACCAAAGGUAAAUGAUGCACAAGUAAAAGAUAUAGGAUACCUAAAGAGCUUAAAGAGCUACCAGAGUAUAAUGGACCAUCCUAAGGAAUGUAUUUCGAACUUUCUUUGUUACGAUACCUAAUAGAAGAUACAUACAUGAUGCAAGUUAGCUUGUAGGUCAACAAUUCUAAAUAUACCGCGGGAUAUAUUUUGAGAAUAAACGCAAAUAUUGAUGGGCAACUAAUACACAGAAUACAUGUCCUUAUGUGUGGAUUAAAACCUUAUUGCCAGAUUCAAGAGUUUGUGAUGGACAUGUGAUUAAAAAUGAGUAACGGAACUAUGACUUUGUAGUAGUAAUAGCAAAGUAAACAACAGCUAGGAUGAGAGACAAAACAAAGCACGGAUGACAUGUGACUAACCCUACAUAUACAAAACUUCAGUGCUAUUUGACAAUGGAUGAAAACUCACUUGUUCCUCAAUGGCCUGUGCUGAUCCUGCACCAUCCUAGAGUAAAUAGUACAUGUUAAUAUAUAGGAUUUAGUAAAGCUUUCAUUAGAUUGAACAAAGUUCCAGGUUAAUAUUAAAUGCUGGACAAUACCUAUGUAUGCUAGCAUUCAGGCCUAGUACAGUUUAGAGAAACUCACAUGAAGCAAUUCCAGGUCUAUGCCUAACUUUGUCUAGAGGAAUCUCAUAAUGAUGCCGAACUAAACUAUGAGUCACUAAAAAACAGCAACGUUAGUACUUCAUGAGAGUGAAUGUUCAUGUUAUUCCGAAGCAAGAAAUGUUAUUAUCAUGCAAUCCAAGGAAACUGUGUAGCUGAUCUUUGUUAUGUUGGAUCGUUGUACAAAGGCUACUAAAAUAUAACUAUAAUGCAAAAAUAGUUUCAGUUAUUGAAAUAUAAUUGUCUGAACCAUGUGUCAAGUAGUCCAGUUACCUGAUCUCAGAAACAUGGUCAAAGACCAUAGUACAAAGAUCAUAACAUCAAACACACUAACACCACCAAAUAAACAUGGGGAGAUCAACAUAGUUCUUCUGAAAUAAGUGCGUUGCAUAACAAAUAGUCAAAGAUAGAAAACUGAUAAGGGACAUGCCACGAGUUGACAAAAAAACAUCUCUGCGUAAUUUUAAAUGCAUAUGUAAUGAAACUUUGUAAGCUACUCCUAGUUCAGAAGUCAGAAGUCAUUGAGUCUGGAUGAAUAUAUUUUAGUUUUUCAUAGGCGAUAUUUGACCAAAUUGGUUUUCAGAAGUCAUGUUAUUUAUCAAACUCGAACUUACAGAAACCAUUUCUUAAUAAAAGAGUUACCGAAAAAAUAAAUCACCACCCAGUCUAGGCAAAACAAAAAGAAUAGACAGGGAAGAUACCGUAAGGCAGGAGACUGAUAAGUGCUAGGAAGGAAGCGUCCAACAGGAUCAUAGGAUCAAAGCGCAUAUACAAAGUAUGGCACAACUAACCUAUGAUUCUGACACCAUAUCCAAGUAUGAGCUCGUCGGAGGCCGCCGUGAGGUAGCUCAUCACUAUCGUGAAUGUUAUCUUGCUGCCGCCAUAGCCAACCCUGACAACAAGUGCUCUCCCAUCACUCAUAGCCCUAUGGCAAAGAUAGCUCUGCAGUUUGGCCGCUAAUGUCUCUUUGCUCAGAAAUCUGAAUGUAAGUGCACGGGAUGAUGAUGUUUUCCUUUCCCACAUUCACAAAAGGGGGACUUAUCAUGUGUUUAUCACAUUAAGCCAUCGCAUCAUUUUUUAACUACAAAUUAUUUCCAAUGCAGAAUGAGUACCUUUAUUUUGCCAUUCCUAAUCCAAAUAAAAUAGAUGAGAUAAAAGACAUGGGAUGCAACUCACGAAAGUUAAUAUGGUAUCCAAAGCAUUUUGUGACCAGCAAAAAAAAACCAAGAGCAUGUCAUUUGAUUUAAAAAAACUAAUCGGUGAUGUUCUUUAUCUUCUUGCAAUAACCCAGUCUUAACAUACUGUCUCCCGAGUGACAUUAGUUCUUUAUCAUGUAAUAUGUUUCUUACCUGAGAUACUGCUAGACUGCAAUUCUAAUGCUGUUACCCAAAGUUGAAGAGUUUCAACUCCAACCUGUAAGUUUGUUAGCAUGCCUUAAGCUGAAACCAUCAGAUAGCGAAUGAGCAUAUGUUGCACAAGAGCAUUUUUUUAUACAUGCAAAUUGGUAUCCAUUUUUUUCCACAACAGACAACUACAAUGGGUUAGGAGCUUGCAUAUGAGGCAUAUCAAUAUAACUAUCAGCCUUGCAAGCAAUUUGACAAAUACUUGAACUCCAUGAAUCCAUCACCUAUAAAUUCGAUUGUAGAUGUAAAAGAGAGGAUGUUCUCUGUUCUCUUCUUAUGCGGGCCUAUCAACUUCGAAGGUUGAACCCAUCAAACCCAUCAAAGAAUCACCAUAUGCGAUGAAAACAAAACAAAACGUAUGCAAUAAAUCUGAAGCAAACCAGAGAAGUCUAGAAGGGUGGGAUUUGUGUGUUUGCGUCGACCACAUACCUGAGUAGGUUGAUCUGGUCUUCCUCGAUGAAGUAGCGGGCCUGGAAGAUGUGCCCACACUCGUCGAGAAAUAGGGAGGGGUGCCUCUCCCACUGGAAGCACCGUGAUCUGCCUCCGGUCGAUGGCCACGCCAUCUCCUUCCCGCCCCCUCCUCUACAACCAUCUUCUUGAAUGGGUGGAAAACGAAGAAAAGAAGUUUUAGGGGACAAACGGAUCUGAGUAUGACGCCUUCUCCGGUGGCCGACGUCAGAGGAACUGGGAUGGAACGAUGGGACGGGGACGGGGACAGGGUGACGGCGGCAACCCUGGUCGCCCACCCUGGGAAGGAAAAAUGAGGAAAGGGGAGGUUGCGUGGGAGAGAAAGGAGAAGGGGUGGGGCUCGAGGUGACUCCCUCUCUGCAAACGAGGAGCGGUGGGACACCAUUUGCUUGCCCCACCUAAAGAGUGCCCGCAGCCUACGUGGCAUACGCGAGAACGCGUCCUUGCUGCGUAGCUUCUUGUUGUGGAUUGGAGUUUCGAGAAAAAAGUGCAGGGCGAACAGUACACAGAAAGUGCGCUUGGAUCGGGUGCUAGCAACGAGAGAAUGGAACAAGAUUUUUAGAACGGGGAUCACACUACUAAUCCCUAACGUGGCAUCAAACCAGCCCAACAAUACCUUACGAUGGGACUGCUUAUGGUUGUCCGAUAUAGUAUAACCGGUCCCAAGGACCCAUAAGCUGGAUUAAUUAGCAAAAGUCAUUGUAUCAAACCUCUCGUGCAUAUGGUUAUUUGGAACUUGUCACUCCCAAGAUGCGACCCUAUCCUCAAUUUGGCACGAAGGCCUCGUCAGGGAUAGAAGCGCAUCUCGUCGUGUCGCAAGAAUGGAUAUCGUUACAAGUACAUGUACUGAAAAGAAGAGAUAUAUAAAGAAUUGCCUUACACUCGCCACAAGCUACAUCAGAGUCACAUCAGUACAUUACAUAAUCAUCAAGAGGAAGAGCAGGGUCCGACUACGGACGAAAACAAACGACAAAAGAAGAACGACGUCCAUCCUUGCUAUCCCAGGCUGCCGGCCUGGAACCCAUCCUAGAUCGAUGAAGAAGAAGAAGAAGAAUCAACUCCAAAUGUACAGUCAACGCGCUCGCGUCAAGUAACCUUUACCUGUACCUGCAACUGGUGUUGUAGUAAUCUGUGAGCCACAGGGGACUCAGCAAUCUCACUUCCAAAGGUAUCAAGACUAGCAAAGCUUAAUGGGUGGGGUAAGGUUAAGUGGUGAGGUUGCAACAGUGGCUAAGCAUAUAUUUGGUGGCUAACUUACGAGCACCAGAAAUAAGAGGGGGAAGAUCUACGCAUAGCGGAUGUGAACUGCAGAUGAUCAAAUGAAUGAUCCUGAAUACCUACCUACGUUAGACAUAACCCCACCGUGUCCUCGAUCGGAGAAGGAACUCACGAAAGAGACAGACACGGUUACGUACACAGUUGGCAAGUUUUAAUUAAGUUAACUUCAAGUUAUCUAGAACCAGUGUUAAACAAAGCUUCCACAUUGCCACAUAACCGCAGACACGGCUUUUCGAAAAGAUUUAACCCUGCAGGGGUGCUCCAACUAGUCCAUCACAAAUUACUACAAGCCGCAUAGAAAUCCUCAAUCACGAAGCUCGCGAUUUCGUCGGAUUCCCUAGUGAAAAACCUCAACUCUGAGAUUACCCAAAGCAUCACGGGAAUCCUGAUGCACAAGAUAUUUCGUCAAAGGGAAAACUAAUCCAGCAAGGCCGCCCGACGUGUCGACGAUCCCGAUAGGAGUCGCGUACCUCGUUCUCAGGACACGAUGGAUAAGCGACGCGUACAGGUGCCAAACCUCGAGUUUCCUCGCGGUGGCCCCGCACAGUGCUCUGUUUUGGACCAAUACUCAUGAGGAGCACUGGCCCAUGGGUUGAUUAAAAUAGUCCGCGGGUGUUGGCGGGUCCCUAUGCAUUAUUAUUAGGUUAUUAGGCAAAUGUAGUACCAAAGUUGGGCCUUGCCAGACAAGCUUUAAUCUAAAACGAAUUAUCAAGGGGGUCCCCAUAACAACCCCGAUCGUGUUAGGAGCGCUCAUUUAUGGAACAUAACACCGGUAGCCGGUAACUAAAGGGGGCAGAGGUGGAACAAAACUCCAGGCUAGAAAGGCCGAGCCUUCCACCUUUUACCAAGUAUAUAGGUGCAUUAAAUUAAAUAGCAUUUAAUAUGGUGAUAUAACAAGGAACCCAUGCUUACACAUGUAAGCAUCUGCACCUGCAACUAGCAACGCUACACAGGGUUAAGAAAGCAGUAACAUAACCAAUCAGUGGUUUGCUAGGUUGAACAGGUUGAAGGUUACCAUGGCAUUGUUGAGGGGCUGGUAUUUAACAUGUGGUAGGCAACGAGACAUAAUCGAUAGAAGCGAUAAAACUAGCAUGGAAAUGAUAGUAAUGGUAUCUGGGGAAAUGAUCAUCUUUCCUGAGAUCCCGCUUGGAGGAAGAAUGCCUCCGGGAAGCAGACGAACCGACGUAGUCGAACGGGUCCUCACAUCCGACAUGCUUGCGGAACUCUAUCGAGACGGAGCAAACCGGAAACACAAAUCAACACACGGAAUUAACCACACGAUGCACAACACAAAUGAUGCAUGAACAACUGAAUACAUGCAAGUCACGGCAUGACAAAUCACACAAUCAAACACUACACAUUAAGUGAAGUUCAAUAUGCACGAGUUGCAUAUUGACGAAACUCCACGUUAAUUGUUUAGUUCACUCCCGGUUAUCUACACGGCAAUAUUAAUGUUGUCAAACAUGCAAGACGUGAAGCGGAAAUUAAACUACCUAUCUAGGCAUUUUAAGUGAGGUCGGAAAUGACAUAUAGCACCUCCGAAACGACCUCACAUGUUAAUUUACAAUUCUGUCCAGAUCUGAAUUAAUGCAUUUAAUUAGAUGUUAAAUAGCAAAACAAAUAGGUUCACGUGAUUCUACGCGUCAAAGCAAGCAAUCUACACAUAAAGAUCAUCUCCAACGGAGCUACNNNNNNNNNNNNNNNNNNNNNNNNNNNNNNNNNNNNNNNNNNNNNNNNNNNNNNNNNNNNNNNNNNNNNNNNNNNNNNNNNNNNNNNNNNNNNNNNNNNNCCUAUCAUGGUGAUGUCCAUCUACGAGAGGGGAUGAGUGAUCUACGUACCCUUGUAGAUCGUACAGCAGAAGCGUUAGUGAACGCGGUUGAUGUAGUGGAACGUCCUCACGUCCCUCGAUCCGCCCCGCGAACAAUCCCGCGAUCAGUCCCACGAUCUAGUACCGAACGGACGGCACCUCCGCGUUCAGCACACGUACAGCUCGACGAUGAUCUCGGCCUUCUUGAUCCAGCAAGAGAGACGGAGUGGUAGAAGAGUUCUCCGGCAGCGUGACGGCGCUCCGGAGGUUGGUGAUGACCUUGUCUCAGAAGGGCUCCGCCCGAGCUCCGCAGAAACGCGAUCUAGAGGAAAAACCGUGGAGGUAUGUGGUCGGGCUGCUGUGGAAAAGUCGUCUCAAAUCAGCCCUAAAACCUCCGUAUAUAUAGGUGGGAGGGAGGGGACCUUGCCUUGGGGGGGGGGGUCAGCCGAGUCCAAGGGGGAAGGCUCCCCCCCAAACCGAGUUGGACUUGGUUUGGUGGGUGGGAGUCCUUCCUUCUCUUCCCACCUCCUCCUUUUUUUUUCUUUUCUCUUUGAUUUUCUUUCCUAGGCGCAUAGGGCCCUUUUGGGCUGUCCCACCAGCCCACUAAGGGCUGGUGUGCCACCCUCAAGGCCUAUGGGCUUCCCCGGGGUGGGUUCGCCCCCCCCCCCCGGGUGAACUCCCGGAACCCAUUCGUCAUUCCCGGUACAUUCCCGGUAAUUCCGAAAACCUUCCUGUAAUCAAAUGAGGUCAUCCUAUAUAUCAAUCUUCGUUUCCGGAGCAUUUCGGAAACCCUCGUGACGUCCGUGAUCUCAUCCGGGACUCCGAACAACAUUCGGUAACCAACCAUAUAACUCAAAUACGCAUAAAACAACGUCGAACCUUAAGUGUGCAGACCCUGCGGGUUCGAGAACUAUGUAGACAUGACCCGAGAGACUCCUCGGUCAAUAUCCAAUAGUGGGACCUGGAUGCUCAUAUUGGAUCCUACAUAUUCUACGAAGAUCUUAUCGUUUGAACCUCAGUGCCAAGGAUUCAUAUAAUCCCGUAUGUCAUUCCCUUUGUCCUUCGGUAUGUUACUUGCCCGAGAUUCGAUCGUCAGUAUCCGCAUACCUAUUUCAAUCUCGUUCACCCGCAAGUCUCUUUACUCGUUCCGUAAUACAAGAUCCCGCAACUUUCACUAAGUCACAUUGCUUGCAAGGCUUGUGUGUGAUGUUGUAUUACCGAGUGGGCCCCGAGAUACCUCUCCGUCACACGGAGUGAUAAAUCCCAGUCUUGAUCCAUACUAACUCAACUAACACAUUCGGAGAUACCUGUAGAGCAUCUUUAUAGUCACCCAGUUACGUUGCGACGUUUGAUACACACAAAGCAUUCCUCCGGUGUCAGUGAGUUAUAUGAUCUCAUGGUCAUAGGAAUAAAUACUUGACACGCAGAAAACAGUAGCAACAAAAUGNNNNNNNNNNNNNNNNNNNNNNNNNNNNNNNNNNNNNNNNNNNNNNNNNNNNNNNNNNNNNNNNNNNNNNNNNNNNNNNNNNNNNNNNNNNNNNNNNNNNUACAUAUUCUCCGAAGAUCUUAUCGAUUGAACCUCAGUGCCAAGGAUUCAUAUAAUCCCGUAUGUCAUUCCCUUUGUCCUUCAGUAUGUUUCUUGCCCAAGAUUCGAUUGUCGGUAUCCACAUACUGUUGGGGAACGUCGCAAGGGAAACAAAAAUUUCCUACGCGCACGAAGACCUAUCAUGGUGAUGUCCAUCUACGAGAGGGGAUGAGUGAUCUACGUACCCUUGUAGAUCGUACAGCAGAAGCGUUAGAGAACGCGGUUGAUGUAGUGGAACGUCCUCACGUCCCUCGAUCCGCCCCGCGAACAAUCCCGCGAUCAGUCCCACGAUCUAGUACCGAACGGACGGCACCUCCGCGUUCAGCACACGUACAGCUCGACGAUGAUCUCGGCCUUCUUGAUCCAGCAAGAGAGACGGAGAGGUAGAUGAGUUCUCCGGCAGCGUGACGGCGCUCCGGAGGUUGGUGAUGAUCUUGUCUCAGCAGGGCUCCGCCCGAGCUCCGCGGAAACGCGAUCUAGAGGAAAAACUAUGGAGGUAUGUGGUCGGGCAGCCGUGAGAAAAGUCGUCUCAAAUCAGCCCUAAAACCUCCGUAUAUAUAGGUGGGAGGGAGGGGAGGAGGCAGCCUCAAAACCUAAAGGUUUGGCCGAAAUUGGAGGUGGAGGAGUCCUACUCCAAUCCUACUUGGAGUAGGAUUCCACCUUCCCACUUGGAAACUCUUUCCACCUUGUGUUUUUUCCUUCUCAAACCUUAUGGGCCUUAGUGGGAACUUAUUCCAGCCCACUAGGGGCUGGUUUAUCUCUUCCCAUAGCCCAUGAGACCCCUUGGGGCGUGACACCCCUCCCGAUGGUCCCCGGCACCCCUCCCGGCACUCCCGGUACACUACCGAUGAGCCCGAAACUUUUCCGGUAAUGCACGAAAACCUUCCGGUAACCAAAUGAGGUCAUCCUAUAUAUCAAUCUUCAUUUCCGGACCAUUCCGGAAACCCUCGUGACGUCCGUGAUCUCAUCCGGGACUCCGAACAACAUUCGGUAACCAACCAUAUAACUCAAAUACGCAUAAAACAACGUCGAACCUUAAGUGUGCAGACCCUGCGGGUUCGAGAACUAUGUAGACAUGACCCGAGAGACUCCUCGGUCAAUAUCCAAUAGCGGGACCUGGAUGCCCAUAUUGGAUCCUACAUAUUCUACGAAGAUCUUAUCGUUUGAACCUCAGUGCCAAGGAUUCAUAUAAUCCCGUAUGUCAUUCCCUUUGUCCUUCGGUAUGUUACUUGCCCGAGAUUCGAUCGUCAGUAUCCGUAUACCUAUUUCAAUCUCGUUUACUGGCAAGUCUCUUUACUCGUUCCGUAAUACAAGAUCCCGCAACUUACACUAAGUUACAUUGCUUGCAAGGCUUGUGUGUGAUGUUGUAUUACCGAGUGGGCCCCGAGAUACCUCUCCGUUCACACGGAGUGACAAAUCCUUGUCUUGAUCCAUACUAACUCAACUAACACCUUCGGAGAUACCUGUAGAGCAUCUUUAUAGUCACCCAGUUACGUUGCGACGUUUGAUACACACAAAGCAUUCCUCCGGUGUCAGUGAGUUAUAUGAUCUCAUGGUCAUAGGAAUAAAUACUUGACACGCAGAAAACAGUAGCAACAAAAUGACACGAUCAACAUGCUACGUCUAUUAGUUUGGGUCCAGUCCAUCACAUGAUUCUCCUAAUGAUGUGAUCCCGUUAUCAAGUGACAACACUUGCCUAUGGCCAGGAAACCUUGACCAUCUUUGAUUAACGAGCUAGUCAACUAGAGGCUUACUAGGGACAGUGUUUUGUCUAUGUAUCCACACAAGUAUUGUGUUUCCAAUCAAUACAAUUAUAGCAUGGAUAAUAAACGAUUAUCAUGAACUAAGAAAUAUAAUAAUAACUAAUUUAUUAUUGCCUCUAGGGCAUAUUUCCAACACAUACCUAUUUCAAUCUCAUUACCGGCAAGUCUCUUUACUCGUUCCGUAAUACAAGAUCCCAUGACUUACAGUUAGUCACAUUGCUUGCAAGGCUUGUGUGUGAUGUUGUAUUAUCGAGUGGGCCCCGAGAUACCUCUCCGUCACACGGAGUGACAAAUCCCAGUCUUGAUCCAUACUAACUCAACGGACACCUUCNNNNNNNNNNNNNNNNNNNNNNNNNNNNNNNNNNNNNNNNNNNNNNNNNNNNNNNNNNNNNNNNNNNNNNNNNNNNNNNNNNNNNNNNNNNNNNNNNNNNUCUUCUCCUCCUCUUCUUUUCUUCUCUUCUCCUCCUCUUCUUUUCUUCUCUUCUCCUCCUCUCUUCUCUUCUUUUCUUAUACACUAUACACUAUAUACACUAUAGCAAAAUUCCUCCUCUCCUUAUACACUAUACACUAUAUACACUAUACACUUAAGCAUAUACACUAGACAAUAUACACUUUUUCUUCUUUUCUUCUCCUCCUCUUCUUAUUUUCAUUUUUCCUAAUCUUAUUUUCUUAUUUUUGUUCAUAUUUCUUCUUCUUGUAACCCUAACCUAAUUCUAAAUAUUACUAACCCUAAUAAUCUAGCACAAACCUAAUAACAAUAGGAAUUAAAUGACAAAAAAAUCUUUUCUUUUUCUUCUUUUCUUCUCCUUUUUCUUCCUACUUAUUUUUUUGAGCUACUUCAUUUGGUAUAUUUCGUGCAUUUACUUUCUUUUUUUGAGCUAGUUGACCCUGAAAUUGAAAAGCACUACAAAUGAACUCUGAAAAUGUUGAAAGUUGGCAUGCUAUCAUCAUUUCACCCACAUAGCAUGUGUUAAAAAGUUGAGAGGGCUACGACAAAAACUGGAUGCACUUCGUGUACAAAACUGACAAUCUCUCUCGAAGUAGCAGGGUUUCGAACGAGAACUCAUCUCUUACAAAGGGAUUUCUAUUUUUUUGAACUUAUUUGAACUCCAUACUUUUUGUGUGUUCAAAAUGCACCAUUCAAAGGCACAUCACAAAAUUUCAACAAUUUCUGACUUCAUUUGGUAUAUUUCGUGCAUUUACUUUUUUUUUGGAGCUAGUUGACCAUGAAAUUGAAAAGCACUGAACUUAUUUGAACUGAAGACUUUUUGUAUAUAUAUGUGGUCAAAAUGCAUGAUACCAUGAAGUUAGAAAGGGCUAAACCAUUCAAAAGUAGCAAAUGAAGUUAGAAAGGGCUAAACCAUUCAAAUUUGGAAACUAUAAUGGCACAAACAGAAACUAGACAUAUAUAAAUUGGUCCAAGAAGUACAUGAUACUAGCCCAAACAGUACAUAAUAAUAGCUACCAUAGAUAUAUAUACAAGUGUUAGACGUUCAGAACACUACUCGUCUGAAUCAUCUAAAUCAGAAUGUCCAAGUUCCUCGAGGUGACACUGGCCAUAGUUGACGACUCGAAUCUUGCGGUACAACUCAUAUGAAACGUAUGCAUCUUUUGCUGCAUACUGAAUGUUGAUAUCAUCAAGUGGGCCCUUCUCCCAAAGUUUGUGCUGAUACUUUGGGAAACUGGUCUUCAUAUCACCAUAUGACUCGUCAAACAAGGCAACUGCCAUAUGAGCCAUUGAAGUCCUGUCAUGUCGAAGCCUGAAUAUCGUUUGGAGAUCAACGAGGCAACCAGCUGGUAUCUCAAUACCGAAGCUGUGCCUCAUCUUCAGCCUGUCGUUCCUUAUGUCAACGGGAGCAAAAGUGACGCCGCUGCGAAGGAACUCCAUGAGUCCAGGACAAUGCUUGUCACUCCUGCAAAAGAAACAAAUUAGAAUGGAACAAAUGUUAUAUACUGCUGCAAUAAGGAAACAUGUUUCACUACAACUAAAGAGAAACUUAUCUUUAGGAUUCAAAUAGAACAUAUGCAAUGGAACCUAGAGAGAUUACUACAACUAUUUGAAGCGAACCAACUAUGAUUCCAAUGGAACAUAUUAAACACUAGUUCAUUCUAAUACGAUUUUUCAGAUUAUGGAACACUAUUCCAAUCAGAUUGUGUUCCCCUUCAACUAAUCAAAAUUGUUUCACUACAACUAUUUGAAGCGAACAAACUAUGAUUCCAAUGGAACAUAUUAAACACUAGUUGAUUCUAAUACGAUUUUUCAGAUUAUGGAACACUAUUCCAAUCAGAUUGUGUUCCCCUUCAACUAAUCAAAAUUGUUUCACUACAACUAUUUGAAGGGAACCAACUAUGAUUCCAAUGGAACAUAUUAAACACUAGUUGAUUCUAAUACGAUUUUUCAGAUUAUGGAACACUAUUCCAAUUAGAUUGUGCUCCCCUUCAACUAAUCAAAAUUGUUUCACUACAACUAUUUGAAGGGAACCAACUAUGAUUCCAAUGGAACAUAUUAAACACUAGUUGAUUCUAAUACGAUUUUUCAGAUUAUGGAACACUAUUCCAAUUAGAUUGUGCUCCCCUUCAACUAAUCAAAAUUGUUUCAGUACAACUAUUUGAAGGGAACCAACUAUGAUAGAAACAAAUAAACUUAUACAAUGUCAUUAUCUUGGAUCAAAGAAAGCCUCAAAACUUACUUCGCCCAUUGGAAGAUCAAGACAUGGCUUGCGAAGCAUAUUUGGAUGACGGCAACACCGCGUUGAUCGGCCGUGUACUCCAGAUCCAGCCCGAAGAACUUCUCAUAAACCGGUGCGUGGUUAAACCAUCGUUCCUUCAACUGUUGGAGGAAAAACGGCACCUCCGUGCUCAGGUUCGUGUACACGACACGGAGCUUCGUCGUGCCAUGCGCGACCACCUCAUGAAAGGUAUUUGGCAUGGUGGAAGAAGAGAAGAGAAGAAGAGAGGAGAAGAACAGAGAGGGCGACGCGAGAGAGAAGAAGAACAGAGAAGGCGACGCGAGAGAGAAGAGGAACAGAGAAAUGGCGACUGUACGCUUCGGUUCGUGCUUUUCAUCGCCCGAAACGACGUGGGAUGCAAACCGUUUGGGCCUUUAAUCCCGGUUUGAGCCAUCAACCGGGACUAAAGAGGUAUACCAAACGGUUGCCACCACUACGGCAGGCCACUGUUAGGCUUUUAGUCCCGGGUUCAACCACCAGCCGGGACUAAAGAGGUAUGCCAACGGUCGCUCCACUACGGCAGGCCACGUGUUAGUCCUUUAGUCCCGGGUUGAGCCACCAACCGGGACUAAAGAGGUAUACCAAUCGUCGCCACAACCACGACAUGCCACGUGUUAGUCCUUUAGUCCCGGGUUGAGCCACCAACCGGGACUAAAGGGUGAUACGAACGGUUGCCACCACCACUGCCCGCCGCGUAGCCCUUUAGUCCCGGUUUAGGACAUGAAUCGGGACUAAAGGCUCCUUACGGGCCGGGACUAAAGCCUCGAGGGAGGCAUUGAGAAUUGGAGCGACGUGGCCGGGCCUUUAGUCCCGGCCCAGAGACAGGCCGGGACUAAAUGGUCCAGGCCAAAGACCCGUUUUCUACUAGUGUUACUUGCUACUGUUCUACAAGAUUGUUGCGAUUAAGCUUCGCUAUAUUUGUAUGCGACUGUGCUACAGAAGUGAAAGCACAUUGUUUAGUAUAAAGAGGAUCCCCCCCCGGCGAACACACACACCAGUAGUGGGUUCCAAACUGGGCGUGUGCGCCAUCGACUGAUGAAGCUCUGUCCCCAUAUUAUUAUUUUAUUGAGGCAUGGUUUAGGUUUAAUAUAAGAGGCCAGCCGGGCUUUGCAGUAUUUUCUAUGUUCUUUACAACUUGCAAAAAAUACAUUGGUAAGCCCAGCCCAGACCCCAGAGUCUAUCCACAACUCGUCCCGAGAGUUCCUUCCUCUAAAAACGAACUCGUCUCGUUCCUGGAAUCCACGGAGGCUGGGACGGAAACCCUACACGGACGAGAACCAUGGCGCAGUCCGCGAGUGCAGGGGCGACGCAUACCCUUACCCUUGGUGGCCUCCCGGAGGAGAUCGUCACCUGGGAGAUCCUCGUGCGCCUUCCCCCCAAAGCCCUCCUCCGCUGCCGCGCCGUCUGCCGUGCCUGGCUCCGCGUCACCUCCGCCCGUGACUUUCUCCUCGCCCACCACGACCGUCAGCCCUCCCUCCACUUCCUCUACGGCAUCGGAUACGGUGGAGGAGUCCGCCACAAAGACAUCCUCGCCUUCGAGAACAAGGCCUCCACCGCCGUCCAGCUCCACAACAUUGCCCGGCUUCACAAGUACGUCUUACUCCGAGCCUCUUGUGAUGGCCUCCUCAUCGUCCUCUCGCUUACCUAUGGCUUUCAUGGCAUCUCGUUAUUUUGUUGUAACCCGGCCACUCGCCAGUAUGCACCCCUGGGGAUAGAACUUGGUUAGCACAGGACAUGUACGUCGUGGGAAUGUACCGACAUCGUCCUACCUGUGAGUAUCGGUUGUUAUUGCAAUGGAGUGGGUUUAAGGAUUUGCCUGAGGACAAACGAAUUGGCUUCUACGUCUUCACGUUGGGCUCCGACCAGCAACCGAGGUACAUAGGUUGGCCAGAGAUGGGCUCGGCGUACUUCAACGUACCUGCUCGAGUGCGUGAUAGCCUGCAUUGGUACAUCAGGUCCCAAAGCAAAAUGAUAGUAGUAUUUAACACCAUAACUGAGUCAUUUAAGCAGAUGCGUGCUCCAACUUUUUCCAUUAGUGAACGACGCAUCUCAUAUAUCUUUGAGGCGGAUGGCAAGCUAGGGAUGCAUACCCGUAAUAGUGCCAUAGAAGAAAUUGUUGAUAUAUGGGUGUUGCAGAACUAUGAAGCUGAGGUUUGGGUGUUAAAGUGCCAAAUCAAACUGCCGCUGGCGGAAGUAAUGGGGCGGUUUGAAGGCUGUGAUGAAUUAUGGUAUGUGAAUGUUGCUUUGGAGCAUGGUCGAGUGUUUUUACAGGCGAGUGUGGGCAAGUGGGUGUUCCACAUUGACAGAGAUGGAAAAUUGAUAGACAGUUUUCAUCGUGGUGUCGGAAGCCUCUGUGAGUAUGGAUUUCGGCUCAAACAAUCUCUCGUUCCACACAGUUUCUUUACGGCAGCAGAAGGUUCUCCUCUGAACGCUUCACCUUUCAUCUGAUAGAUGGAGGCUACAAUAUCUUUGAACUGAAUGAAGUAUGAGCCGUCUUGCUUCUUUUUUACGUUGAUGUUUCAGUUGCAUUGUUUGGAACAUCUCUUAUUAUUACUCCGCUUGUUUAUAUUUGAAGGACUGGUGCUUCGUGGAAUGUUCGAUCUUAAGUUUGUGAAGCAAAUCCCAUUUAAAAAAAAAGAUUGGGAAGCAAAUCUUCUUGUACUAGUGGGCACAAGAAAUGUUUUCCCAGAUUUUGUUCGUAGAGUUUUUUUUGAGGAAGCUAUUUAUUCAGACGUCACAAUGUUGACAGGGACGAAGGAAAGGUUUCCCGGAUUGCCCAACCAAACAUGUCGGCCAAUUCCGAGCGAGAGAGUGUGCUUUGCUAGAUUGUGAGCUUCAUAAUUCGAGCUCCUAAAUUCAUGAACUCUAUUACACAAGUGUAGGCUAGCAGAAUGUGCCGAAAUCUCUUGGAUAACUGCUCUGUAAGGCGCCUUCAUCCCUUUCUUCAAUUCUUGUACCACCGUUUUACAAUCCGAAGCGAUCUCAAUGUCUUGGACAUACAAAUCCUCAGCCAAAGAUAGAGCUUCCCUUUUAGCCAUUGCUUCAAGAGUGGGAGGAUCUGUGAUGAACUUUAUUACAAUCACUGAAGCUCCAAGGAAAACACCAUUUUGGUCUCGACAGAUUGCACUAACAGCUCCACAUCUCCUUCUUGUUGACACAGCCACAUCCACAUUGACUUUAGCACUCCCCUGGAAUGGUAGUAUCCACGAAGAUUGUCGUGACCCUGGAACAAAACCGGCUUCAGAUCCCGACCAUUCGCUUGCUGAACUUCAGAUAGAUAUCCUGCUAUGAAACUGUUUGUAGCAAAAGGAGACUGGAAAAUAUCUUCAUAUAUUGCUUUCCUUAUUACACCCCAGAUUGCCCAAGCUGUCACCACUAGACGAAGAAACUCCUCAGUAAUCAAUAUCUCAUAUGGAGCAAAAAGCCACUCCUUCGGAUCCUCCUGCUGACAGCAUAUGAUCUUCUCCACGAGUUCAUCAGGAGCUAGGGCCCAAACACUUCUAGACAGCGAGCAUGUAAGUAGAGCAUGUCUCCAUGUAUCUCUUGCUCCACACAACCUACAAGUGUCCUCAUCCGCCAUGUGUCUAUGUUUCAGCACUUCUGCCGUGGACAUGGACUGUCUUGCUAGCCUCCAGACGAACAUACGUAGCUUUGAUGGAACCUAGAUAUGUCAAAUGGAAGUCCAUAAUUUACAAUCUCUCUCUCAGGUACCAGUUUCUGCAUAAAUCCAACCUUCCCUACUAAGUUUUGUCCUCAGAACCAUCUGAUAGGCCGACCGCACAGAGAAAAAACCUCUGGUUUCCUCAUGCCAAGCCCAAAAGUCAAAUUCCGUGUACACACCUGGAUAUGAGCCGUCUGGCUUCUUUUUUACGUUGAUGUUUUCAGUCGCAUUGUUUGGAAUAUCUCUUACUACACCACUUUGUUUAUAUUUGAAGGACUAGUGCUUCAUGGAAUGUUCGAUCUUAAGUUUGUGAAGCAAAUCCAAUAAAAAAAAGAUUGGGAAGCAAAUCUUCUUGUUCUAGUGGCCACAAGAAAUGUUUUUCCAGAUUUUGUUCGUAGAUGAAGCGUGAAGCGAGCAGGCCAUCACCAGGCCAAUCUGGUGACAAACUGACAAUGCAUGCAGUUGUAUUCUGAUACCGAACAUUUUCGAUACCGUGUUACUGCUACUUGCAUCAUGUACAUCAUUGAAGGUUAAUUUGCUUGGCCGCUGACUUACUGUGUGACUUGCGUAGUUGUGUUCUUCUCUUCCGGCGCACACUGUUUUUAGCUCCGAUAAACCUUUGUUUUGUGCUCUUUGGUGGAGGGAGGCAGUUCUUCCACAACUCUGUUUUUUUAAGCUGGAGGAGUGCAUUGGCCCUGUUUGAAUCCAUGGACUAGAGUUAAAGUUGAUUACAUUGGACCGAACUAACCCCAAAACAUCCAAACAGGAGGGUUAGAGUUGAUUAGAUGCGUCUAACCCAUCCAAGAGGUGCUUAUUUGAGUUAGAGUUAGGUGGGGCUUAGAAAAAGUUACUUUCCCCUUUGCCUUCACUAUACAAAAUCUUGGAUAAACGAGCCAAAUGAUUAGAAAAAUACAUUUAUUCACAAUCUAACCCUGUCAUCCAAACACCUUUUUUUUAGAGUUAGUUUAGGGUUAAUUUAGAGUUAGAACUAACUAUGACCUCUAACUCGAUUAAAAUAUCCAAAUAGGGCUAUUGAAUAGCUGUCAGAAGGGGACAAGUGCCAAGCACGAGGCGAUCUUGGAUCACUCCACCAUGAGUUGGGAGUUGAGACUUGGCAGUGGGAGCGGAGGAACCUGCACGGCAGCUUCGAAUCCCAUCUCGAUCGAGGCCGGCGUAAUUGGAAGUUGACGCCGCGAAUCUCGACGGCGUUGAUCAUGUUGAUUAAUUCGUCGGAAGUUGCCCUAUCCGAACUCCCAAGCUCCACCGAGCUCAACUUGGCCCUCCACCCAACCCCAUGGCGGACGCCCAAGCCAAAUCACUCUCUCAGCUGCUACUAGUCUACUACUGCUACUAUAUAAACACGCAUGGCGAUCAAAACCUCGCAUCAGUUGCAGAGUGGUAGUAGAUCACCAAGUCGUUGUAGCGAACCACGCUCCUGUCAGUAGGAAGCCAUGUCGCUACACCGCAGCUCGGCGGCUGCGCUCGCGGCGCUGCUGGCACUGGGGGUGCUGCUGGGCAGUACGGCGGCCGACGAUGGCGGCCAGCCCAUCGUGGCCCGCGUCAGCAAGGACGCCUCCACCUCCCUCUACAACAUCGCCAUCAAGGUCGGCGGGGUGCCGCUCCUCCUCGACCUCGCCGGCCCCAUGCUCUGGCUCGCCAACUGCCCGUCCCCGCACCGCAUCGUUCCCUGUGUCUCCCCCGUCUGCGACGAGGUGUCCACUACGUACCGCCCGCCCGGCUGCCCCAAGCCCGGCCUGCGCGGAGAAGGGCAGUGCGCCUGCCCCGCCUACCCGCGCAACCCGGUCGACGGGCGCUGCCGCUCCGACGACGCCACCACCAUCACGCUCGCCGCCAGCACCACGGACGGCCAGAACCCUAUCUUCCCCGUCACGUUCCGCGCCGUCGGGUCCUGCGCGCCUGGGGAGCUGCUGGAGUCGCUCCCGGCAGGAGUGGCCGGCGUCGCGGGCUUCUCGAGGCUGCCGCUGUCGCUGCCGACCCAGUUCGCGUCCUUGCUCAAGGUGGCGAACGAGUUCGCGUUGUGCCUGCCCAGCGGCGGCAGCGACGGCGUGGCAGUCUUCGGCGGCGGCCCGUUCCAGCUCCUGGCCGCGCCGCCCGUGGAGCUCGCCGGGCGCCUCCGCGAGAACCCGCUUCCGCUCCUCAAGCACCCCUACAACGGCGGCUACUACUUCAACAUCACCGGCAUCGCAGUUAACCAACAGCUCGUGCCCACGCCGCCCGGCGUCUUCGACCUCGACGCCAGCAGCGGCACGGGCGGCGCCGUCUUCAGCACCGUGACUCCCUACACCGCGCUCCGCUGGGACAUCUACUGGCCGCUCCGCAACGCGUUCGACGCGGCGACGAGCGGCAUCGCGCGCGCGGACAAGGUGGAGCCGUUCGACCUGUGCUACCAGGCGUCCGCGCUGACCGUGACCCGGGUGGGCUACGGCGUGGCCAACAUCGAGCUGAUGCUGGACGGUGGCCGGAACUGGACGCUGCCCGGCGCCAGCUCGCUCGUGCAGGUGAACAACCAGACCGUGUGCUUCGCGUUCGUCCAGAUGGCGUCGUCGUCGUCCAUGCCCGCGGCGCUCGACUCGCCGGCGGUGAUCCUCGGUGGGCACCAGAUGGAGAACAACCUGCUGAUGUUCGAUCUCGUGAAGGAGACGUUCGCGUUCAGUGGGCUGCUCCUCGGCAUCCGCACUACCUGCAGCAACUUCAACUUCACCAUGGGGAGUUCUUAUUAGAAGACUGUCACGUCCUGGUUUUGCGAAUGCAGCGUUUUCGUUCCAAUACUUCUGGUGGAACGAAUGUACCGUUGCAGUGUUGCGUAUGUGACGAGAAUAAAAUUGGAUACUGAUAUAGCUCACAUGUGUGGGUAUUAAGGGAGUCUUGCGACACGUCCUAUGUGUUGUGUAACGAAAACAGCCAACACGUCUAUUUGUGGAUAAAACAACUAACGCUCAUACGUCCAUCCUCCUGCCCUCGCGACCCGCACAUCCCGCCUGCCACCUCACGGUCUCGCAUGUCCACGCGUGACAGUUGUCACGGUUGCUCAACAGCAGUCCUCAUGUGUGAACAACUGUAUAGUCAUGUAACACUAGAAAAACAUGACAACUGAGAGGCGAGCGGACGGGUAGGCGCGGGACGGUAGUUUUACCUGGUUGCCAUGUAACACUGAAAAAUACAUGGUAACUGACACGCGUCCGGGCGCGCAACGAGAGUUUCACUCAAUUGUUAUGUAACACUAGAAAGACAUGACAAUUGUCAGACAUGCAGGCGUAUGGGCGCGACGUCAGUUCCACCACACGUCGGGUUGGCAGCCGUUAGCUCUACAUGCGUGAAAUAGACGUGUGAGCGAACUGAUAAUACUCCCACACAGAAGCCCAGUCCUACAUGGCAUAGAAAAUUUGACAAAACUUGUCAAGAUUUGUGUAAUCACAAACGGACGGGAAUCCAUGAAUGUGGGCGAAUAAAAUUUGGGGCCGAGCAUCCAUCAGUUUCUUUUAGGGUCCUGAUAUUGCCCAUACUUGUGGGCGUUAAGGGAGUCUUGCCACACGUCUCGUGUGGUGUGUAAGAGAAACAGCCACACGUCUACAUGUGGGCAAAUCAGCUAACGUCCACACGUCCGGCAUCCUAUCUCARGRCAAGCACAUACUGAUUGCCACCUCGCGGCCCCGCAUGCCCCCGCGUGACAGUUGUCAUGGUUGCUGAACCGUGGCAACUGUUUAUUUAACUGCGGUUGUCAUGUUAGGACAACUACAGUUGCCAUGGUUGCUUAACUGCACUCGCUAUGUCUGAACAACUGCAUUGCCAUGUAACACUAGAAARRCAUGACAACUGACAGGUCGUGUGGGCGUUGCGACGAUAGUUCCACCCAGUUACCAUGUAACACUGAAAAAAUACAUGGCAACUGACACGCGUGUGGGCGCGCGACGGCAGUUUCACUCAGUUGUCAUGUAAUACUGGAAAGAUAGGACAACUGACACACAUGAGGGCGUGUGGGCGCGACGCCAGUUCCAGCACACAUCGGGUUGGCAGCCGCGAGCUCUGCGUGCGUGAAAUAGACGUGUGGGUGAAUUGAUAAACAUUCACACACGAGCUCGGUCCUACGUGGCAUAGAAAAUUUGGUAAAACUUGUCAAGAUUCGUGCAAUCACAAACUUACGGCAAUCCAUGCGUGUGGACGGUUUCAAACGACCACACGUAUGUGCGUUAUCUUUUUGAUUCUUUUAAAGAAAAAUGUUUUACUCAAUUUUCCCAUUCUUCUCCCUCUCGCUACCACACAGUGUUUUCCUUAGCACUAGCUUGCUACCUCAUUCUUUCCUAGAUGGCUCAAAUUUGGGACUGAAGUGCGUCGGGACGAGAGCGAAGCGGACGCACGUGCCUUCUCGGUGUCCGUCCCAUCCACACCUGCUAGUCGUCCAACUAUUCGCGGUCAACUUAAUUAAUGACGGCCAUCCUCCACGGGCCCACGCGUGAGUGACUGUGGUCGGUCUUUUUUAAUCCAAGGGUGCAGUGGGGUUCGAUAUUAUCUGCUUCCAGACCCUUGUCCCCAUCUCGCCACCUCCCUGCUCCCUCGUCGGCGAUCAAACCCUAACCAGCAGCCAUGACCAGCUUCGACCAGAAAAAGGACUAGGUCCCCGUCGUCUAUCGUCACGAGCUGCACCGGAGGAGGUGGCCUACCUCCAGCAUAGGAGGGUGCUACGUCUGGCGGAGGAGCGCACACGUGCCGCGCUACCGCCGCCACCAGCACUGCCCGCGCCGGCAUAGCCCCCCGACGUCUAUCCUCGCGCGCUGGGUCCGGAGGAGGUGGCCUACCUCCAGCAUUAGAGGGCGUUGCGCCUGGCGAAGGUGCGCGCCCGUGCUGCACCAUCGCUGCCACCAGCACUGCCCGCGCUUGCACAACCUGCCACCUGCGUCGGCACAGCCCGACCUCACCAGCCCCGACGCUGACGACGAGAACGCAUAAGGUAGUGCGCAGUUCGGUUUUUUUAGUGUUCAAUUGUAAUGUAAUGGGGACGUGGACUCUUGCCCGCUUUCGUGGCCAGCUUUAAUGUUUAAUUUAUGUGUGUUUUAUUAUUCAAAAAUGUCUGCAAAUUUUUUAUGUGCCGUCAAAUUGAAUUGCAUCCGCGUUGGACACAUGCGCCGACCUAAAUACAGAAACGAACGUUGGUGCCCAUUAAACUGACCCAAACAAACAAAAAAGGAUAAAAUCAUUGUCCGUUUAAUUCAGCCGGUUGGAUUUACUCUUAGAUCAUAGAUCAUGAAUGAAUUUGACGCCCGCAUCAACAGGUCGAGCGACCCCUCGUGUGCUACAUGGCGGUUGUGGGGUUGUUUUGGCUAGUCAUGUCGCUCACAUUUGAUUGUGAUUGUGCGUUCUCGUUUGGUAAUUGGUUGCGUGGUUUCGUGGUCUUCAAUGGCCUUCGGCAACGGUAUGUGUGAUUCCUCUCCUCUGGCUCAACAAGAACUAUGGAGUGCCUCUGACCUCCCUAGCUCCACUAUAGACCCGAGCAUUUCCAGGCCCAUUCAGGUUCGGGCCAGGCUUUAAAAUGUCCGACCUCAAAAUACCAAGCCCGGGGCCGACCUGGCCUGUUCCACAACCUGAUAACAAUGCCUAUCUUUUAUGUUUUAAAGUGAUAAUUUGCUAUUUUUAGGGUAAAUGUCACUAUAAUGUUGUACUCCUUUCAUCUCAGUUUACAAGUCCGACAAAUGUAUCUAGAUCGUUAAUUUGAUCAACUUAACGAGAGACAUAUAUAACAAAAAGUAUAUCAUUACAAAAUUUAAAGUCAUAUUGACAAUCUAAAUAUACGUAAAUGUCUUUCAAAUUGUGACGGAGGAAGUACCUAUGUCUAUAUGAAAAAUCCUAAAAUCAUGUUGCACCGAGCUUUGGGUCGGCCUGUGGGGGUGGAAAGUGAGGAUUGUGCCUAGGCUGGUCAUCGGGCUUCCAGCUAGGCCAUAGAUGUAGGACGUACCUCUACCACCCUCCGCCACUAACCCCUCACUGGUUAUCAACGACAGUGAUAUCGUCCUUGGGGUAUGUGUGUAAGCUCCUCUAACCCCUUAGGCUGAUUGUAAUGGAAGUAUCACAUACUAGUAUCAUGCAUAUGAUACUAGUAUAUGAUAAUAUAUCCGUAAUGCAAAGUAUCAUGUGCUAGUAUCAUAGAACGGUUUAUUUAUUGACAUGCAUGACACAUAAUAGCACAACAUUUAAUAUGAUACGGUAUCAUAAUAUGAUACUCAAUCCUCUUUUUCUUCAUUUAAUUCCAUGACACCUCAUCAAAUAUGCCUAGUUGGCAUGUAUGAUACUACUUAUGAUACUUUCAUUACAACCGGCCUUAGGUAUAGGCGAAUCUGAUGUUAAUUACCCAGACCACUAUCAAAUUGAUGGUUGACUGAACCGUGUUGAACUAUUGGACGCUUCGUGCUGAGAGCCUGAGAUGUCGUACGUGCGUGUCCCCAACUCUCCGUCCUAGUGCUCUUUUCUGUCCUCCAAUAUAACUUUGCUUGCAAGUGGUAUUAGUUCCACGCUAGUGGCAGAUGUCACAUAUGUUUUUUCUAGUAAAAAGAGGAGUACCUCCGGCCUCUGCAUCAGCACGAUGCAUGCGGCCUUUUUAUUAAUAAGGAAACAAACAAUUUUCGGUUUUACAUAGUCUCCGACAUAGCAGUGUAGAAGCAAAAGUAAAAAAAAAAUGGUACAACUGGUAAAAUUGGCCUACAUGCCUAACCAUCUAUUUUAUUACUGGACUGUCAUCCAAAUCAGCUGAAGAUAUCCUGCGCUACCAUCUCCCAUCGGGUAGACCCAGUAACCAAAGGCUUCCUGGUUUCUGCAGGAGUGAGUAAUGACCAUGUAUGGAUCAAUACCGCAGCUCUGUGUAGUACCUGCAAAAAAUGUAUAUGCGUAUGUCUGUCAAAAACCACAUCAUUCGUACAGUUUCAUAUAGCCCAAAGAAGUGCACAAACUCCAAUACGGAUGUGUCUAGCAAUAAUCGUAUCCAAUACGGAUAUGUCUAGCAAUAAUCGUAUCAACUCCAUCUAGCCACGUUCCAAAUAACGUGUCAAUGCUAUCCGGAGUUAUAAUAUUAAAGGCAAUACGAGCUGUCUGUCAAAGAACUCUCGCAAGUCGACAUUGGAGAAAGAGGUGUUUAAUGUUUUCCUCGUUAUCACACAAGCUACACCGAGUACUCCCCCCCCCCAAUUACGUUUAGCCAAAUUAUCCUUAGUUAGAAUCACCUUCUUAUGCACAAACUACAUAAAGACCUUGAUCCUUAAGGGUACCUUGAAUCUUCAAAUAUUCAUGGACUUGGGGAUACUAGUUGUGUCAAUAAGAUUCAGAUACAUCGAUUUGACCGUAAAUAUUCCGAUAUUCGUAAGCUGCCAAUGCACCCUAUCAGGUUCCUCUGAUAGUUGGACAUCCAUGAGUCUCCUCACAAGGUGGAGCCAAUCCGCCCAGCGAUGUCAUAUCAAUGACCGUCUGAAUUGGAUAUUUAAAAGAUUUGACUGUAAGAUUGUGGCUACGUACGCGUCCUUGCGUUGCAUAAUAUUAUAGAGAGCUGGAUAUUGAAUGGCCAGAGGCAUCUUCUCCAACCACGAAUCCUUUGGAAUCUCGUACCCUCACCAUUUCCAAUAAUAAGUUUAGUUCUAUGGAAGAAGGCUGACCUUACUCUCAUCAAUCCCUUUUAGAAUGGUGAACCAUUGGGUCUCGCAUUUACCUGGGCUAAGGUUUUAAAAUGUAGAUACUUAUUACGUAAAAUUUAUACCCACAUGCCUUCUGUCUCUAUAGAAAGUCUGAAAGCCACUUACUUAACAGACAUCUAUUCUUUACCUCGAAAUUCUCAAUUCUCAAACCUCCUUGGUCUUUGGGCCUACAAAUAAUAUCUCAUUUAGCUAAUAUGUAUUUCUUCCUAUCAUCAUCACUCUGCCAAAAGAAUCUAGAUCGAUAAAAAUCCAACCUUUUGCGUACCCGUACUGGUACCUUAAAGAAGGACAGAAGGAACAUCGACAUACUUGUAAGUAUCGAGUUUAUCAGAAUUAAUCUUCCUCCAUAUGAGAGCAACUUACCCUUCCUGCAGCUUAGCUUUUUCUUAAAUCGAUCUUCGAUGCAUUUUCACUCAUUACUGGAAAGCUAUCGAUGGUGAAUAGGUAUGCCUAGAUAACUGAACGGUAGGCUCCCCAGUUUACUGGAUUAUAGGUUUGACCAAGAUAAUAAAAUAAAUAACAACAUUUACAAUACCUAAUAGAUAAAAUAUGAAACUACUUUUCAUUAUAUAUCAAAUGAUAUAAAUUUUGUAUUGUGCAUAUUGAUAUAUUUUUCUAAAAACUCAAUAAAAUAUGCAGUCGUUUGACUUUUGAAAAAAAAGCUAGUACAUCUAUACUACUAAUAAAAGAUCAAACGUAAACUUCCCUAUGUACACACAACUAUUACCCCCACAAAAACAAACACCAAUCACCACCACACAAAUAGACAACAAAUUACAAUCUAACGGCCUUCCACCAUUCAGGCAGCACCACCGUGUGCAUUUACCAAAUAAAAUAAGGCUGACCGUGCUCCACCUCCUCGCUCAACCCGCUCGCCUCGCGCCCCCGUCGCCCCCGCUCAGGCCGUAAACACCCCUCCCCACCCACGAUCGUAGCCUCUUCCUUCCCCAAACUAUCGACGCAUCCUCCCCCCGCCACCGCCGGUCCUCCGCCAUCGAUGCCUACUCCUCCCGCCCCGAGCCCCGCCACCUCGGCCUCCCCAUCCCACGAUCCCGCGGCCCUCCUCUCCCCGCGCCCCGCCACCGCAGCCUCCCCGCCCCAUGCCCCGUCGGCCCUCCUCUGCCCGCGCCCCACCGGCCCUCCUGCCCCUGUGCCCCGCCACCUCGGCCUCCCCGUGUCCCGCCACCGCGGCCUCCACGCCCUGCGCCCCAGCGGCCCUCCUCUCUCCGCGCCCGGCCACCGCGGCCUCCCCAGUCACGCGCCCCGCCGGCCCUCCUCUCCCCGUGCCCCGCCAUCGCCGGUCCUCCUCUCCACGCGCCCCGCCUCCUCUGUGCCGCGGCGGCGGGGGAUGCGUCGAGCUCGGCCCCGGCGCCCCGGAGGCUGGUGCUCUACACCAAGCCGGGGUGCUGCCUCUGCGACGGCCUCAAGGAGAAGCUGCACGCCGCCGUCCUGCUCGCCGGCACCCCCUACUCCCUCGCCUCCCUCGAGCUCCAGGCGAGCAAACCCAGAACCAGUCCAUAAUCUCUUUCUCGUCCUGAGAUGAAUGCUUACUUAGUUACUUUGGAUGCUGGAUGGACUAAUUCGAUCAGGAGAGGGACAUCACGACGAAUGGGAGCGGCUGUACCAGUACGAGAUCCUGGUGCUGGCCAAGGUGCUCCCCGACGGCACCGAGGUAUCCAUCGAUCCGCUCGCGAUUCACCCUUUUUUUGCCAUGUUUUCGGCUACGCAAUGUAAGCUUGCACAUAGCUAAAUUAUGAUACCAGCAUACAACAUCCAUCUGGCUGUAUAAAUGUCUCAAUUGGAUAAACGAAAGCAGACAGUGGCUAUGCCUCGCUGGUUCGCUGUAGUUGGUAUACUCGCCACAGAUAAUAAAAUCAUGGAGAACAUAAAAAGAAGAUGGUAUUGAUCGAAUCAUCUUAUUUUCAGGUAUAAUCAGGAUUCAUAAGAAAGAAGAAGAAUGACAUCUCUCUUCCCCUCAAUUACUUCUUUGUGUUGUUUGUUUCUUGUAUAUACUAUGAAGAAAUUGUAUGUUAUCCUGGAUAACUCAAUACUACAAUUUUUUAGUGUACAAAAAAUUUAGGUGUCACUUGGUUAAGCAACAUUUGAGACUAUUCUAACACUAUUAUGGAUUAUUUUCUAUAUUUCUUCUUUCCUAAUUAUCUUCCUUUUACUGAGGAUUGCAGCUAAAUGUGCUCCUUUUUACCGCAAGGGAAAUGGUCAUUUGAGUUAUUUUAUUUCAAUUAUAUUGUAAUAGAGCUUCCAGUGGUCCUCCUACAUGAUUGCAUCCCAUGUACUCUCAAAAUACCCGAUUAUCCUGAAAGAAAGCAUUAGAAAUUUAUAUAAAGAUAAAAAACAAAUGGGUGUAUUAUUUGAAGACGAAUACAAGUUUGACCUCUUUCUGUAAUAAACAAAUCCAGACACAUCAAUUGCAAAUGCUCAGGUUAGUGAAGUUUGUGAAGACGAUGUUCAUGGAGAAUCGAUGUUCAAAUCUGUUUGUAAUAUCAUCUACAUUCCAUACUUGUUUAUUGGCCUAGCGAAUCCAUAUGUACGGCUUGCAUUGCCAAUUAUUGUACUAUUUUUCUUGUUUAUGUAUGGUAUUUUCCGCAAAGAUUCACAUAUAUGCUGUGAGCUGAUUCUAAGUUUGGUAGAAAACCCACAUAUAUGUUAAUGGUUAGAACUUCAGUCUAUUUUUCUACCUAUUCCUUUGUUUGUAGAGUUUAGUUCUGUUCGACCAUGUUUCGCUAGGAAUAAUGUUGAUUUGUAUUCCUUUUAGACCCAACCUCCAGCCCUUCCACAUGACAAGAAGCCCAUAUCUUCCAUUACAUAAAUCAUUUAUUAAUGGUUUAGGAACUUGAGACUCUCUCUUUAUUUUAUUUUAUUGGAAACUGCAUCAUAUCAUGUUCUGAGUAUUUAGUAUCAGAUUAAGGUCUGAAUGACGAUACAUGCUCGUAAAUGAUAAGCUGGGUUGAAGUAUUAGGUUCUUUCCUUUGUUUCAUUCGUGGAAAAACACACACACACACACACACACACAUUCUAUUGUUCAUCGCCUUUGCGUGCAGAUUUUGUUGCAUAGUGCCUUUAGCUAUUUUUUCCUAUUUUGUUCUUUGUGCAGCACAAGUGGUCCUCAUCUCGAUGGCGAUUUUGUUCAUGCUCUUCUCGGUCCAGCGCUUUGGGGCCGACAAGGUCGGAUACACCUUUGUGCCAGUCAUCUCAGUGUGGUUCCUUCUAAUUGCCGGCAUCGAGAUGUACAACCUUGUUGUUCACGACAUCGGUGUUCUGCGGGCCUUCAGUCCGAUGUAUAUAGUGCAAUACUUCAUAAGGAAUGGGAAGAGUGGACGGGUGUCACUUGGUGAGAUUAUCUUGUGUGUCACAGGUAACCUUUUUGUACUUGAAAAUUUUAAAAUGACAAGCGGUUGCGUUGCAAACUAUAGCCUGUCGAACUGUAAUCUGAAUUAACUGACUGAUUGUCAUAUGUAACAGGCACAACAGGUAUGUUUGCUGAUCUAGGACAUUUCAACAUCAGGGUUGUUCAGGUAACCACAUUAAUUUUAGAUAUAAGCUUUCAGAAGUAACAUUUUUUCCUGAGGCCUCCCUCAAGAGUUCGAAACAGAAGGAUCUCAUCUUACAAUAGUUUUUGUGCUUACAUUUGCAUCUCAACUUCAACGACAUCGUGUUCCAGUCGGUGGCACUGUGUUAUAUUGGGCAGGUGGUUUACCUGAGGAAAUUCCCACACAACGUUGCAAACACCUUCUACAGAUCCAUCCCAGGUACAAAGUUUUUUUUGUAAGACUGCAAUUUUGCUGAAGAAGGGAGUAGAUGCAUGCAUUUGGUAAAUAUGGCAGAAGUAACUGAAUUGCUUCCUUGUGCAACACCAAUGUUCUGGCCAGCCUUCAUCGUUGCCAUUCUUUCUGGCAUCAUAGCAAGCCAAGCUAUGCUCUCCCGUGCGUUUGCCAUCCUCUCCAAGGCUCUCUCUCUCUCUCGUUUGCAUGCCAAGGGUUCGAGUGAUCCACACCUUGCACAAGUAUGAGGGACAUGUGUACAUUCCUGAAGUGAACUUCCUGAUGGGAUUGGCGAGCAUCCUCGUGACGGUCGCCUUCCGGAUGAUCACCAGCAUCGGCUAUGCUUACGGUAAAUGGCUGGCCAAGGAUAAGGCGUUUGUGUUCCACUCAGGUUUUCACUUUUCAGUGGGAUGCUGUCGUGCUGAACAUAUUUAUUCAUCGAGCUGAUCGACCCGAUGUUGGUUAUGCGCAGGGAUCUGUGUGGUGACCACGUUGCUCUAUCAUGGAUGUUGAUUUCCAUUAAACAGUAUUCUGUAUUCACUCAGUUCGGCCUCACUUUCCUCACACAUGUUGGCUUAGCUUGGCUUGCUAUGAUGCCAACACAUGGAUGUCUGAUCAACGCCACUACUCCAUUUGUGCAGUUACUAGAGACACACAUGUUGUGCUGCAGCCGUGGUGCUCCAGUACACCAUAGGCCUCCGUUGAUCAAAUGCAUGAUGCUAAGGUUAAAUCCUAUACGCAGUUUAUUUCUACUUGCACACAUCAAGUUCAGUUAAAUAUGUCAUGGUUAGCUGAAUGAAAAUAAAAUAAUUGAGAGAAGUGGUGCCCACGUGAACAAGCACUCUUUUGGCCGAGCCGGAAAUAUUGCCUGAAAUUAUUGUUUCACUUGGUAUAAUCACUCUCCAAAAAGGUUAGGUAAAAUUAUGAAAGUAUGAUUAUGCUUUGACAACAUUACUUUAGAAUGAUACAUGUGCUGUAAUUUUACAAACCUCAAUAUGAUUGAUCCCACUUAAUAUCAAUCAUAGUUUGGACAACAUUCGGACAAUCAUAUUAGAAGAUUAAAUUGUUAUGUUUAUUGGUACGUACAAUAGUCUGACCGAUGCUCCUACUUAUAUUAAUUAAAUUCUGGAAAACAGACAAAUAAUGGAGGUAAUUAUAGGAUUAUGUGGCCAUUUACCCAUGAAACCAAUAAUUUAUUACAAGCUAAUAUUAGACAUCUUCAACAAUAGUCAAUAAUAAGAUGUGUGAAAAUCCGAUCCUGAAGAGGGGAUGGAAGAACAUGGGCUACAUUGAGUGGAUGAUAUCACUACCAUUGCCUCACAAACACAAAUGUAUCACUGAACUUAUCCAAGAAAUAUGCUGUCCCAAAUUGCAUUUAUCUCAUUCACGGAUAAAUGAUGGAAGAUUUAUUUACCUUGCCAAAUGAGAAUAUAGCAGCUAAAUAUGUACUAAAUAGUUUAUCUUAUUGACCAGAGGCUGUAGUAAAAUAGUUUAUCUCUUAAUAAAAGUAAAUGACUUUCAAUCUAUAGAAAAAGGUAAGUAGGUUUAGUAACCAGCAAUAAUCACAUUUUUGGACUCUUCUUAUGAAGUGUGAGCGUGCUGAGGAGACUUAACUACUCAAUCAUGGGUACUUCAAUCUGAGAAUUUUUUGCAUCCUUGUCGUUUCCUUUCUAUAUAUCCUCUGAAAUAACAAUCAAGAUGUACACCAUCAAAAUCAUGCUAAUCCAACUAUCUGGUGUGUAGGUCAUCAUUGUACGACUUCCAUUCUGCUCCAUACAAUAUUCAUUCUCCAUGAUUAAGUGGUAGUUUGUUACUGUUUCGAAGAGUCAAGGUAACUCAUGUGCUCGAAUCAUUCUCGCUCUCACAUAUAUGUUCAUGCUAUACUUUAUUGUUUUUUUGGGUCUAUUUUACAGGUUUGGAAUACAAUUUCAGUUGCCUUCAUUCAUGGUCAAGGCUUCGGGUGAGUUAUUGCACACCUCCUUUAUAAUAUUGUAGUGAUUUAGUUAAUUUCAAUUGCAAUGCAUUCAGCAACAUUUAUAAUGGUUAUUCUAUGAAGUAUUGAAAAAUUAGACGCGAUCUUUUCUUCAAGAUGGUGCGGGUUAGUAUUGGUGUUGCGUUUCCAUCACAUGGGAAAAAUCAUUUUAAUAUAAUAUGAACAUUAUACCGAGUAACCAGUAUUGACGCGUAAGCCCUUAGCUGGUAUUGACACAGAUCGUCUGCCAAUAAAAGGCAUUAACAUUGAACCAUAUCCCUAUUACAACCAUGUAUUACAUAGAGCCUAGCAGGUGUCGGAUGCAUUAUCUGAAAUUCUAAAUACUUGCUUAAUACUAUGUGUAUGACCGCUAUCAUCAAGAUUAUAUUUUUUUUUCCUCUUACAGAAUCCUUGUACAAUACAAAUAUGAGAAAUUUCAUUUAUAUCUAACAUGAUACUUGUACUUCUGAUUUUGCACACACUUUAUUAUACCACAGUCAACCAAGUAGUAGCAUGCGAGUAAGGCUCAGGGUGGUUCCGGACAAAGAGACCUCAUGUAUCCUCGGCCUAAAGCAAGAUUGGGUAUGUGGCAUUUUAGAAGAUCCAUAGUGGCGCUUAUCCCCGAUUUGUUGCUUUAGACUAAGGAAUGGUUGUGAGUGGUUGUACAGGUAACUUUUUCGCCAAUAAAUGCACCACACAAGUAAGCUUUGAGAUUUGGAUGACACUCAUUUGUUCAGUUAGUUGGAUGGAGCGUAGCUUUCACCUGUUGUCCUGUCACUUUUUUUAAUUGAUUAUUUCUUGAUAGUCUUCGCCUUUUUGUUUUGUUCUAUGGAAAUUCAUCACCAUACACAUGAAAAAUAUUGUAUUGACACAUGGAGUUAUAUAGGUAACUUGAGUUAUUGUACCUUUUUUCCUUUAAUUCUUUUUGUUUGGAAUCAACAUUCAGUACAAAUGCUGCUGAAGUAUACCAAAUAGCACAACAACUUCUAAAGCAUUCAUCUAUUUCCCGUGCUUUGUCGGAUGUUCCAGUGAAACAAUGACAUGUAAUUAAUGUAUAUUGUUGUUCGAGAGAUUGUGUAUAUUUGAACAUUAUUGUUUUCUUGCAAUGAAGAUUAGCAAAAAAAUACACGUCAAGUUGUCAUCUUUGGAUAAGUUGUUGGACCACCGACAACAUGAAAUUAAUAAAGAUAGUGAUGAUCACUUUAGUUUGUCCAUGUGGUCUUGUUUUUAUUUCAUCCCAACUAACGUUAUUAUUGGUUAUGAAACUUGUAUGGCCAAUGGAUGGUAGCUAACAGACGGUCAUUAGCGGCUAAUCAAUACCCCCAGCACAGCUCAAACCCUCGCGGCAGGGGUGGAGGACCGCAGGGACAUGCUACUUCCAACAGUAGAACAGAGAACACAUCAAAGAAACGCUCUUCGCAGGAGGCAGGGAUGAGCGAGGACGAGAACGUUGAGGACACGACUGAGAGCCCCAUGAAACCAAUGCAGAUGGAGCAGGACGAGGGGGAACCACCCCAGACUGAAUCUUCUGCAGAAAAGCGGCUGGACAUGUCCAAUGCAACUACAGCAGGGCCGACUGAUCUAGGGGAUGAUCACCAGUCCACGACCAAUAUGAGGGAGGCUUCUGAACUCCCAGAGCAUACUCCACCACCUCCGCGGGCGUACGUUGCACCAAGGGACCGAAAGAAGCACAGGGCAGGUUCUUCACCACAUAAAAUAACAAACACUAUGAGCGAUUUGGCGGGCUCCUGCGAGGAGCACCGCCGGGCUCAAUGAGUUUUCUAUGCUGGAGCUGUCGAGGGGCUGGUAGACCCGAGACAGUUCGUGAGCUUCGCAAUCUUGUGAGGCAAUAUACUCCAAUGGUGGCUUGCAUUGUGGAAACUCAACUUCCUGGAGGAAGAGUAGAAAGCGUGGCAAGCUCAUUAGGAUUCGAUCUUUCUUUUGCUGUUAGUAGCUCUGGUAGAAGUGGAUGUUUAGGGAUCUUUUGGAAUAAUUCAAUAAAGCUUGAGAUCUUUGGUUACUCUGAAUAUCACACUGAUGCGUUAAUCACCAUGUCAGGGGUGGAACAAUGGAGAUUGACGGUGGUUUAUGGGGAAGCAAGGGUGGAGGAAAGAGGUAUAAUCUGGGACCUCUUUCGGUCAUUAGCUUCGGCGAAUGAUCGUCCUUGGUUGUGUUUGGGGGACUUCAACGAAGUCUUGCGUCUGGACGAGUACGAGGGAUCAAGCCACCGCAGCAUGACACAGGUCAAUGGGUUUCGUGACGUCGUUGAUGUUUGCGGAUUCUCUGAUCUGGGAUUCACUGGACCGAGAUGGACUUUCAAGAGAAGGGUCGCAGGAGGAACCUAUACUCGCGUCCGAUUAGACAGAGCCUUAGCUACUGCGGAGUGGUUGUCUAUCUUCCCAAAUGCAAGAUUAGCACACAAAGUGGCUGCCACCUCAGAUCAUAGCCGCAUCUUGCUUGAAACCGAAUGCCAACUGGGCAGGCUCAUACAACAAACUUUUAAAUAUGAGAUGAUGUGGGAAUCCCAUGAUGGUUUCCAAGAGGAGGUGCAACAACAUUGGCAGGCCCUGGAGUGGCUACAGUAGCAGAACCGAAGGGGAAAAUUGAUGCUCUGGCAAAAGGCCUCGGGCGCUGGGAUAAAAAUACUUUUGGCAAUGUGAGUAAGGAGAUCAAACGACUGAACGGAGAUCUGGCAAACCUACAGGCAGACCCAAGGUGUACCCAACCUACUAGGGUUGAAACAAAGAUCAGAGAUAGAUUGUCCGAGCUCUAUUACAGAGAGGAGGUGAUGUGGCGUCAACGGUCCCGGGUAACAUGGCUCAAAGAGGACGGAAAUACAAGGUUUUUUCAUCUGCGGGCAAGCAAUUGUAGACGCAAAAACAAAAUUCAGUCUCUGGUACGGGAGGACGGCACUACAGUUGAUGAUGCCAUUGAGCUAGAACACAUGGUCACCGAUUUCUAUAAACAUCUAUACACAUUCGAAGGUACAUCAAAUAUGGAGGAAGUACUUAACAUGGUUCCACGUAAAGUCACCACUGAGAUGAAUAAUCUUCUGACAUCGGAAUUUACUCAAGAAGAGGUGAAGGCAGCUUUAUUUCAAAUGGCACCCACAAAAGCGCCAUGGUCUGAUGGGUUUCCCGCCCAUUUCUUUCAACGCAACUGGGAAGUAUGUGGCACCGAAAUCACUACAGUCACCUUAAAAAUCCUGAAGGGAGAAGACGAAGUUUCUAUCUUGAACGACACUAUUCUGGUGCUGAUACCAAAGGUAACAAGCCACACACUCCUCACACAAUUCCGUCCGAGAAGUCUUUGUAAUGUUCUUUAUAAAAUAGCAUCCAAGGUCAUAGCAAACAGAUUGAAACCCAUCCUCCCUGAGAUCAUAUCAGAAGAACAAUCGGCCUUUGUUGGAGGAAGAAUUAUUACAGACAACAUAAUAUCUGCCUAUGAAUGUGUGCACUUUAUGAAACGAAGCAAGUCGAAGAGGAAUGGAUUCUGUGCCUGGAAACUAGACAUGAUGAAAGCAUAUGACCGUUUGGAAUGGACAUAUCUGAGCGCUAUGAUGACCAGACUGGGUUUUGCACCAGCCUGGGUUGAUCUUAUCAUGGGGAUGGUGAGCUAAGUUACUUUUUCGGUCUUAUUUAACGGGAAGAAACUGGAUCAAUUCACUCCUACGAGAGGGAUUCGACAGGGAGAUCCACUAUCACCCUAUCUGUUCUUGUUGGCAGCAGAGAGCCUCUCGUGCCUCCUCAAAAACCACAAUGAGUCAUCACCUAUUCACGAAAUUAAAGUGGCACCAACGGCUCCGUUGGUAAGUCACUUACUGUUUGCUGAUGACAGACUGCUGUUUUUCAAGUCGAGUUGUCAGGGAGCUACUAUGGUAUCUUCCUUGUUGGAAACCUACUGCAAUGCUUCGGGACAGAGAAUUAACCAAGCUAAGUCCUCUGUUUUCUUGAGUAAAAGCUGUGCAAAUGAGGAGAAGGAGAGUAUCAAGAACAUUAUCAAUGUGCACAAUGAAUGUCUAAAUGACAAAUAUUUGGGCAUGCCCACAGAUGUGGGUAGCAGCAAAAAUGGGGCCUUUAAAUAUCUGAAAGAUAGGGUUUGGGAUAAAGUUAAAGGAUGGAUGGAAAAGAUUUUAUCCCCAGGAGGGAAAGAAGUUCUUAUAAAGUCCAUUGCGCAAGAAGUUCCGGUCUUCUCUAUGGCGUGCUUUAAACUUCCCCGCGGUUUGUGCCUCCACAUCAACUCCCUGAUUAGGAAGUUCUGGUGGGGUAGUAAGAACGAUGAAAGGAAUACUAGUUGGGUAUCGUGGGAGGUGAUGACACGGCCUAAAUAUGAAGGUGGAUUGGGUUUCAAAGAUAUUGAACUAUUUAAUCUCGCCUUACUUGCUAGACAAGCUUGGCGCCUGCUCAAGACUCCGGAAUCAUUAAGUGGCAGGAUCCUAAAGGCACGUUACUACCCCUUCACUUGCUUCCUGGAUUCUGAGCUUGGAAAUAACCCAUCACAAAUAUGGCAUGCAAUCAUCGAGGGGAAAGAUAGUCUCAAGUUAGGAGUGAUCAAACGGAUCGGCGAUGGCUCAACCACAGAGAUAUGGAACCAAAACUGGCUCCCUAAAGAAGCUUCCAUGCGACCUAUUGCAUGUCUUACGGCCCAACGCCCUACCAUGGUUGCCGAGCUCAUCGAUCAUACAUCAGCCAGAUGGAGGCGGGAGUUGAUCACCUCAACUUUUUUAUCGAUAGAUGCUGACGUGAUUCUCAACAUUCCUCUAAGCACCAGACACUAUGAAGAUUUCUGGUCAUGGUCACAGGACAAGAAAGGCUUGUUUACCGUCAAGUCUUGUUAUCGCAUGCUCAUUACUACCAAGCUUCGACGGGAGGCCUCGCUUGAAGGCAAUGGCGGCCCGGCGGACGUCACCAGAGAGAGGAGAUGUUGGGAUACGAUGUGGCGGAUCCAAGUCCCUUCGAAAAUCAAGAUCUUCCUGUUGAGAUUGGCCCAGAGCUCGCUACCGACAGCAGACGUUCGACACCAUCGCAAUAUGGCACCCUCCCGGGCAUGUGCGAUAUGCGGGACAGAGGACUCUUGGAUCCACUCCCUGCUUACAUGCACUAUGGCUCGCUGCGUCUGGGUACUACAUGAUCCAGAGCUAGUCGAGCACAUGUUGGCGACUGCGGAACCAGACGCGAAGUCUUGGCUAUUCACCAUGCUAUCAUCAGUUUCUGCGACCGAGAUGACCAAGAUCACAGUAACACUAUGGGCGAUCUGGUUUGCCCGACGCAAACUGAUCCAUGAAGGAGAGCAUCAAAGUCCAGGGGCUACACUAGCCUUCGCCAACCGAUUUAUAGCAGAGUUGGAACUGAACAAGCCAACAUCGAGAUCAAACCCUAGGCCAGUUCACUCCAAUACUCGGCGAUGGAUCAAGCCCCCUGCGGGUUGGACAAAGAUCAAUGUCGACGGUGCAGUUUGCAACGCCCCCCCCCCCACUACGGAGCGAUCAAUGCAGUCUGCAGGGACGAACAAGGAGCUUAGCUGGGUUCAUCAGCCGUCGUCUUCCAUGGGUUAACUGAUCCUCAAAUUUUGGAAACCUUGGCUUUCCGUGAAGCCCAAUCUUUGGGACGAGACUUAUUAUUGCAAAGGUUGCAGUGGCUUCUGAUUGUCUGAAUGUUGUUGAAGGAAUCAACUCUGGAUCUGAAGGAAUAACCGGCCCUAUUAUCAAGGAAAUAUUUGAUGGUAGGAGUGACUUUCAACAUAUAUCGUUUACCCAUGAAGAAAGAUUAUCCAACAUGAAAGCUCACCACUUAGCUAGAUAUGCUCUGCAUUUAGGGGAGGGAUGCCAUGUGUGGCUACUCGAACCCUUUGAUACUAAUAUUAUCCCUGUAAUCCGCAAUAGUGAUCAAUAAAGCAGUUUUUCACCCCUAAAAAAAAAACUGAGUCUAUUAGCUUUUGUUGCCCUUAGCAGCAUGGGUGGGUGAAAUUACAAAUUUGUUAUGCAAUUCAUUGGUCUGAGAUAUUUCAUAAGUAGUGGCCAACUACCACACCUGUUUGAUGCUAUGAUUGGUUAACAUGAGUGAGAAUGAAAACAAAUGAAUAAAUAAGUCCCUAAAAUAGAACAAAAACCCUCGGACUGCCGGACUACAGUGUACUCGCUUGGGAUGAGAAUGUAAGUUGGGCAUGGCUGUGAGGUUGUACGGAAUAUUGUGGUUUCAUUCUUUUAUGAAAUGAAACGAGAGAGUCGGUCCCUAAUUAUGUAAAUAAAAAAGUCGGAGAUUGGUUUAAUAAGCGAAAAAAUAUGUUGUACAUGUAACGACCAUAACUUUUAGAUUCAGUGUCAAACGAAAUUUAUAAACACAUGUUUUUAACGGCAUACUGUACAUGUUUAACUAGUUAAAUAUUUCCAUCCGGAUGGAGUAUUAGAUUAGAUUGAUUAGUAACAAAGGAUUGGAGCUGUUCAUGGUGGUCAACCAGGGAUUGAUUAAGACGGUCAAAAGGUGCUGCACACAAGCAGUACCUCUCCCGCAAGUCAACCGGUCACUUCAUCCGUUGCUUCUGGAUCACGCCAUGGAGUACCCAUUAACCCAUUCGCAUAAUUAUUCGAUGUAGUGGAAUCAAAGACAAAUUCAUGGACAUUCACAGCAAAAAGAAGACCAAUCCAUGAAGCCAUAUGUAUGGUCCUUGAAGUCGAGGAGGAACUCGUGAGUUGUGAGAUGCUUUCUGUAUUUGGAUGGUUAGGAGGCACUGCCAUCUUUAGCUCAUGAGUGUUUAAAUUAUAAAUUUGGGACUGAUGCUUGCAAUUUUUUAAAUUUACUUCAGUCCUUCUAAAAAUGUGGGUUCUGUAAGAAUUAAAAGGAGGCGUUUCUGUCAACUAAGAAGGCAUUUGUGAUCAAUUUUUAGAUGAUGUGUCGGUUUAUUUCUUUCGAUGAUGCUCAUAUAGUAGAGCAUGCGUAAUUCGUAAAGAUGAAUGUAUGUGCGUAUGUAAAAACGUAUGGAUCAAUGUUAAAAAGUGCACUUCCUGCGCUACGUGUUGCGAUCUGCGGACCGAUGGGGCCUGCGAGGCUGCGAUGCUAGUUGUGAGCUACAUGUACGGACGUGUGCGUGUUGUGUUGGCGAAGACAAAUACUACCAGUAGGAUGCAACGGCAGAUACUCCCUCCGUUUCUAAAUAUAAGUUUUUUUAAAAGUUACACUAACGGAUUACAUACGGAUGUAUAUAGACAUAUUUUAAAACCUAUAUUCACUCAUUUUGCUUUGUACGUAGUCUUUAGUAAAAUCUUGAAAAAGACUUGUAUUUAGAGACAGAGGGAGUAUAUAUGUAUCACAUCACAUGCAUGGCUGAUGGCUCGUUGACCUAACCGCGAUCAACGGCGGGAUACAUGCAUGCUUUCACUGUGGCUUUCGAUGUGUCACACGUACUAGUACGAAACAUGCAGGUGAACGCAAAGCGUCUCCGGAGAAUGAUGGCCUCCACAGGGGAGAAUGAUGGCCUUUCCCCUAUAAAUCCCCACGUUCACAUGCGCCAAACACCUCACCACCACCACAGGACGACCCAUCUCAGCAGUGUGCACGAUCUACCAAGAAGGAAGAUCCAUGGCGCGGCAGCUCGUUGCCGCGAUGGCCGCUCUGGUGGCCGCGUGCGCCCUGGCGGCCGCCGCCGGCGUCGAGGCCCAGCCGCCGAGGAAGCUGCCGCCCAACUACCACAUGAUCACCCCGGGGAAGUUCGGGCAGAGGAGCCAGCAGCUGUCGUGCAAGGACACCAACGGCAAGAAGGCAGGGUGCAUGGGCAAGUGCGACAAGCGCUGCCCCAACCAGUGCAUCGUCCUCUGCCCCAGCUGCAAGACAUACUGCAGUAAGUUUAUACAUAUCCAUGUGAUGUACUGUACGUACUUCCUUUUCAGGUUAGAGUGAGUGGGCCUCUUUGAUUCAAAGGAUUUUUCAUGGGAAUUUGGGGGGUAUUGAAAUCUUUUAGCAUUUUUCUACAUGGUUAUUAGUUCGAUUCGUAGGAAUGAAUUUUGUAGAAGAAUGAUCUGGAAAAGGCUCGAACUUUCGUUUUUUUACUAUGAACGUUUUUAUGGCAAUGUACUGACGCAAGGGUGGCAAGUUUAGCUGACACACAAAUCUUUGCUCAGUGUAUUUUAUGCUUGAACUUAUCGUGUGUGCGAAUUAAACUUGUCACACUAAAGUUAUCAUAUAAGACGUUCAAUUUGUCAUGGUCAAAUCCCAAACAUUUGUUUUCGUAGAAAAAUUUAUGUGCCCCAGCCACAAGACAUACGUAUGUACUUUCCUUUUGAAACGGAGGUAAGAAAUUUGCCUCAUUUAUUAAAUAAGAAACGAGCAUAACGCGAGGGUGUUCUGACAAAAGAGCGUUCCUCCGCACAUCCUGCUUAAUAUAAGAGCAUCUCCAACGGCAGCGCAAAAAAUCCGCGUCCAAUAAUUUUUUUAGCGCGCCACUGUAGCAGUUUUGAAGCGCGGGGACGGAGCAUCUCCAACAGACGCGCGCUAGUGCGGCGCCCAAUCCAUUCCGAUCCAGCGGUCCCAUCUGCAGCAGCUCAGAGUUUGCUGCGCGCGCAAGCCGGCGCACCAAAUAUGCUGCGCGCGAUAGCGUUUUUGAGCAUGUGUCCAAAAGUUUUUAGCGCGCGCAGUGUUUUGCAGCUUCUGCUGGAGCAGUCCGGCGCCCAAAAAACGGAUCUUUUAGCGGGCGGAGCAGUUUUUGGGCGCCUGUUGGCGAUGCUCUAAUAGUCGAAGAGGCCAACCUUUGGAUCAAAGCAGGGGCUAAGAAGUUAGGGUUUUUCUUAUUGCAAGAAUGAUUUUCAGGCCGUAACUUGGGUGUGUUGUAACAUACGUAUAUACUCAUGCACUACUUUCUUUGUAGUAAAUAUGUACACUUUUAGUCCCAUUUGAAUUGGGUGUGAUUUUGCAUGCGUAUUUUGGCUUAAGUUUGAACUUUGGAGGACAUCAUGCCUUUUCUGUACGUUUGUGGUGCCAUUGACUUCACUCUUGAUGCGUCCCUUGGUUCCAGUGUGCGACUUCUACGCGGGCGUGUCUUGCGGUGACCCGCGUUUCACCGGCGGCGAUGGCAACAACUUCUACUUCCACGGAAAGAAGGAUCAGGACUUCUGCAUCGUCUCCGACGCCGACCUCCACAUCAACGCCCACUUCAUCGGCAAGCGCAACCCCUCCAUGAGCCGCGACUUCACCUGGAUCCAAGCCCUCGGCAUCCGCUUCGCCCACCACCGUCUCUUCAUUGGAGCCCAGAAGGCCACCAGCUGGAACGGCGACGUCGACCACCUCGAGAUGUCCUUCGACGACACGGCCCUCGAGAUCCCUAUCGAGACCGGCGCGCUGUGGAACUCCGCCACGGUGCCAGGGCUGUCCGUCGCGAGGACGGCGACCACCAACGGGGUGAGGGUGCACCUGAGGGGCGUGUUCGACAUCAUGGCCAACGUGGUGCCCAUCACCGAGGAGGACUCACGCAUCCACAACUACGGCGUCGCAGGGUCAGGCGAUAGCCUGGCGCACCUGGACAUCGGGUUCAAGUUCCACGAC